This 86770-nucleotide long non-coding RNA is filed under the name Setaria viridis. Its description in RNAcentral is "long non-coding RNA (SVIR_LNC002787)". The record is from RNAcentral. Lineage: Eukaryota; Viridiplantae; Streptophyta; Magnoliopsida; Poales; Poaceae.
GCGAGGGCAAGGUGGGCAUUUCCCUAUGGCGGAAGGCUUCGGAAGGGGGUCACGGGCACGCGCGGUAGCGUGCGCCAGCGUAGCGAGCUUGUCCUGUUGUCCCCGUACGCGCCGCGCGCGGGAGGCGUACCGUGCGAUGGGGAAGAAAGGGGAACAGGGCCGGCCGACUGACGGGUGGGUCCUGCUUGGCGGUGAGAGAGACGGGAGAGAAUGAGGCGGUCGGGCGAGCCGGCUGGGCUGGCUAGCUAGGCUGGCCUGCUGGGAUGGUUCGGUAGAGUUAGGUUAGCGGACCUGGCCGGCCUGGUUUGGUUAGAUGUUGGGUUGUUUUUAUUUAUAUUUAGUUUGAAUUUUGAAUUAUUUUAAAAUUCAAACAUACUCAUUUUUGAAAUCCAACAAAAUCCAAAAAGAGCCCAAUCAAAUUGAGAUUUGUAGAAGAGAGUAGAAUUUAUCUUCCAUUUUUAAAUCAGCACAUAAUUUAAAAAAAUAAUUUUUUUAAAAUUUCACUCAAUUUAAUAUUUCGAAAUUUUGAAAUAUUACAUACCGGCUCCCUCUCUUCCUCUCUUCCUUGCUUCCCUCUUUGUCUCGUGUGUUUUCCUGUGUGCUCAGUUCCUCGGAACUGAAGGCACGAUUGAGCGGCUCUCGUGCUGGUCUGCUGGAGAUUGACGUCUUGUCGCAUGUCACUGAAUGCACACUGACGGACAAGAAGUGGUGCCUUCCGAGGUUCAGUGCAUCUAAUGGCAGACAUGGUUUAGACACAGCCACACGGGCUUUAGGUGUCAGCGCGGCCGCCGUCGGCGCCGCAUGUACCGGCUCACGGGGCGACACCUCGACCCAUGCAUCGGUCGAAAUCGCCAGCGGCCGGCCGUGACCUUAUCUCAUCUCAUCUCAUACAGCAGGAAAUUAAGCACUCCUGCGGGCCAUUUUCUGCCAUGUGAGACUCAUGCGUGUUGGUUAUUCUCUGGUUAUUUUACAAGGGACACCUCUCCAGGUGCAAGGAAAAAUCUUGAGUAGCUUCUUGUCCAUGCGGUGUAUAACUCAACUGUCGUUUGUCUCGUGUCAUGACGCUACACUGUUGGUGUUAAGCAAGUUCAACCCCGAACAGAUUUAGGAUUACAAAUGAUAUAGAGCUUUUCUUUCGAUUGUUCUUUUAAUUGAAAAAGUAUUAUCCCUUUACAAUAGGGUAGGCUCCCAUUUACAGUGAUGACCUACUUUAGUUUCUAAAAAUAUCCUCACUCAACCACUAUAGCCCUAGGAUAUGCCAAACGCGUGUACAAAUUGGUCAUGCUUCUCACGCCUUCCGCCUGUUAACCUCGGAACUUCAUCCUCGUUCUGAGCUAAUCGCUUAGCCUCGAGGGUUCAUCUGCAUCCCAAGCCGAACGCCUAGCCUCGAGGCGCCUGCUUCGUUGAGCCUUGAUGAAAAGUCGUAACCUCGAGCAGUUCUCCUCUAAGCUUCUUCCCUGAGUAAAGAAUUCAAAUCGCGGUUUGAGGUGUUUCUUUGCACCCGCUAACUCCCCUAUAAAAGGUGGGGGUAUGGGUCGCUCGAGGUUGUCGUCGUGUCUUGCUGAGAACUUGUUCGUUGUCAUUUUAGUGCUUUGAGAUUUGUGCUUUUCUGCUCCUUGCAUUGAUCUUUCUAGCUUCGAAGGUAUUAUUCUUAUCCUUUUCUUUCAUUCUUUUCUACCUUUGCUCUUUCACAUCUAGCUGGCUCGUAUUAUGCAAACUGCGAGGUUAAUAACUCUUGAAGAGUUGGAAGAGCAAACGAGGCUACGUGGGGAUGCUCCUGAGCGAUAGGAGGGCCGCGAGGGUUCUUAGCAUCAGGAGGAUCAUGAGGAUUCUCAACAUUUGGAAAUUUUUUCUGAUACUGACAGUGGAGAAGAUCUGACCAACAUUGAGACUGAUCCUUUGCAGCUCAUGGCUUUCAAGGAGACUUAUGCGCCGACGCUUCGCUUUGGCUGUUUGCUGGUUUCUCAAAACAUGAUAGACUUUUAUGUUAGCAAAGGCUAUUUUCCCAAGGACGUGGUGAGGCCUCCCGGCGAAGAGGUUGUGUCAAAACCCAAUCCUGGCGAGGUUGUGGUUUUCAGGGAUUUUUUUCACUUCCGGCCUACGUUUUCCAUGAUACAAGAUGUUUCGUUUUCCAUGAGACAAGAUGUUUCCUCAGAUCCUGGACAGGUAUGGGGCCAAGCUUCACCAUCUUACGCCUAAUGUUUUUAUGACACUUCCUAAGUUUUUCUGGGUCGAACGCACCUUUGGUGGGGUUGUUGAUGUGGAUGGCUUUGUGAGGCUCUACCAGCUUCAUAUUCAGAAAAAGAAAGUUCAAUUUAAUGAUGAGGAGGAGGCUCUCGAGACUCAGUUUGGUUGUUGUACAUUCACAACCUGGAGAAAGAAUGAAAAUAAGAAGAUUUCUAGAGUCGUGCUCUCUAUAGCUUAGAAGAACAGAUGGGAUGAUGAGUGGCUUGCUUACAGAUUUUAUGUCAAGGUUGAUAUGUCUGAGGCUUUUGGUUUUGGUCAGCCAUUUUGCCCAUUCUAUAGUUCGAUGUCUCCUCUUAACGUUAUAUCGGUUCCCACUUUUGGGAGGAUGAAAAGUUUCCGGACUUGCGAGGAUGCUUUUGUUCUUGCGUGUUCAGCUGUUGCUGGACAGGAUUUGUGUAACAACUUAGCCUAAUCAAACCAUGUUUAAUCUUAAGUAAAGUCAUUAGAGCAGAAAGAAGAACAAUUGGCAGUUGUGAAGAUAAGUAAAAAUACACUUUUGCCCUUACAAGCUAAACAACGGUUUAAACCAUCGAUUUGAUUAAGAACUUAAAAAUCUGUCCAACCAAGAGUUGUAGAACUCAACUUCACUAACAACUUUUAUUUUUGAUAUUUUGUUUGAAUCUAAGCCAAAGAUCUUCAAAACCUCAAAAUUUGAACCUGUGCCGAUUUAAGAAAAAUAGAUAAAGUCCCAACUUUGGAACUCUUUACCUAAGCAUGUGUUUGGAUGGGAGACAAUGUAGGACGAGACGGUCCCAUCCUAUUUUUCUGGGAUGGGAUGAUCCCAUUUCAUGUUUGGUUGAAUGAGAUGGGUUCAUCCCAAUUUUUUGUUUGGUUGGAGAGAUUGCAAUAGACAGGACGAGCACCGUUUUCUCCUUCCGUUAAACACCAUUUGUGGGGCCCACUUGUCAUACUAACAACAUCUUCUUCCUCCAUCCGCGCCACGCUAGCCUCGCCUACUCCACCCGUGGCGCUGCCCCUGCUCCACCCCGCCGCCACCCCUACUCGCCCCCGCUGCCCCCCGAUCCACCCCACCGCCGCCCCUGGGUCACGCCCGCGCCACCCCUGCUCCACCCCGCCACCCCCCGAUCCUCCCGGGUGCCCCCGCCUCCGGCCGCAUCCGUCCCGGCCGCGCCCGCCUCGGCCCGCAGGAGCUCCGGCCGCGUCCGCCCGCAGGAGCUCCGGCGCGUCCGCCCCGGCCGCGCCCGCCUCCGCCCACAGGAGCUCCGGCCGCGUCCGCCCCGGCCGCGCCCACCUCCGCCCGUAGGAGCUUCGGACGCGGGAGCUCUGGUCGUGGCGGAGCUCGCCCACGCCAGCCAUGGAGGGCCGCGAUGGAGCUCCAGCUCGCCCACGCGACUGCGGCGGAGCUCGCCCGCUCGCUGUUGCUCCCUCUCGCGUGACAGAUGGGGGGCGACGGUGUUGAACUGGGACGACCCCAUCCGGUCGUUUUUGGCGGACGGGAGCAUCUCGGAUAUUUGCGGUAUAUUCUCUACGAGGGACGACCCCAUCCCGUAUGCUUCCCAACCAAACACUGGAAAAAAUGGGAUCGUCCCGUCCCGUCCUCGGAACCAAACGCACCCUAAAAUUCUUCAAUAUGAACUCAAGCUGAGCUCUAUACAAAAGUUUUAAAGCUUUGAUCCCUUAACAACUUUGACUAAGGGAGUAAGGUCGAAAUCUGCACAUAAGGCUUUCAAAACCCAGGUCAAAGUCGGCCAGAUUGGUCAACUCAGCCCAAGACCUACAAUCUAGACCGAGUCUGGAAUCAUUUCAACCAUGCAUCUUGGCAUAAGCUUAUCUCACAAAAUUUGAACAGAAUGCCAGCAAAACCCUUUAUAAGAGUUUGAGACCUAAGUUCAUACAACAAGUUCAUCAUUUGGAUCCUGGUCAAAUUCACCUCAGAAGCUUUUCAAAACUGGAGCUUAAGUCAGCCAAAAAUCUUGAAAAUAGCCAAACUGCGGAAAUUCUUCCAAGUCUAGAAACUGACGUUCCCUCAAACUUUGAAGCUCUGUAUCUUCAAAUCUACUACAAAUUUGAGCUCAGUUCAAUUACAAAAGUUGAAUUAGGAUCUGAGGACUAUAACUUUUGUAAAGGGAGUUAAUAUCGCGCAGAUAAAAAAUCUGGAGUAACUCGCGCUCGAAGACCGCCCCAUCGCCGGAUCCCGCAGAUCCCUUGCGCCCAGAGCACGUGCGUCGUGCUCUACCCGUCGCUUGCCGCGUGGCCCCCGCUCAUCGGCGCAGCGCCUCCGCCUGGUCUCUGGCCACGGCAGGAUGACGCCUCGCGUGCCCCGCCGCCAGUGAAGCGCCGCGGUCCCCCCACCCUACUCCCGGCAACUCCGCCUCGCUCGAGGUCACGCCCUGCCCACUGCCCUACCCUGAGCGCACUCCCCCGCGGACGCCCUUCUCAACACCACCACCUCUGCCAACCGCUGGCCGGGAAGCGACGCAUCGAGCGCCAGCCUCACCAACCCGACGCCCCAGCAAAGCCGUUCCCCAUGCGCACGCUCGCUUCACCCACGCCUGCACGCCUCAACUGCAGCGCCCUCGCCUACCGCGCCACCCCUCCCUUCUCUGCGUCCAUGGCGCUGCCGCCAUUAAUGGCUGCAGCAGUGCCCCGGCUCCCCUCUGGUCCCCAGCUACCAGUCCUAGCUCUGUCUCGCUUGCCUGCUCUGCGCCGGCCCUAUAAAUGGAUGCCCUACACCGCCUAUGCCCCCUUCCCCACUCGCCCAACCUCACCGCGCUCCCCCUGCUCUGCUUCGCGUUCGCUGCCGAGCCACCUCUCCGUGGAGAGCCCAUCUCCACACAGCCUCGCUAUUCACUGUCAUCGCAAAUCGCUCCGCCACUACCUCGCGCAGCUCGAGCCGAUGUCCGUUGCCGUCACCAAGCCUCGACACCGCCAGAACGCUGCCGCCCAGCUCCGCCGCAGCCGUGACGCCACCUUUCGCCGUUUCGCCGCCGCGAAGCCCCCUCUGCGCCCGAGCCUUCGCCAGCAGAACAUGGUGAGCAUACACUCAUCCCUACGCGCUUGUUGCCCUAGAAUCGCCGGCGAGCUGACGGAAUCGUAGCCCCGCCGCCGCGCGCCACCAUAAGGGCAUAAGUGUGAUUGCGAAACUCGGCCGACGGCUUAGGUAUAAAUAGUGAGGGUGUGGUUGUGAGUCUGAAAACUUACAAGGGCCCGGUUGUAAAGCUGUUUCGGUUUGUUGCUUUUUCUUCCAAGCAGAAAAUAGGUUUAGCGUUGGAAAUACGCCAUAAAUUGUACAAAAAUCGGAAAAAUGUCAAAUCAAUUUUGCUAGACUCAGUAUGAAGUAUAGUUUCUGAUAAACUAUCUCUGCUAGAGUUAAUGUUAUAUGUUUUAAUACUUGUUUAAGCUAUUUAAAUCAUAGUAAACCAUAGAAAAAUGCUAAAAUGAUGAAUCCAACUCUCAAGAGUUUGUUUCAGAGAAUGGAAGCUUAUAAAAAUAAUUUGGAGCCUAGCACAGAUUUCUAAAUCACUGUUUUAGUUGUAUAAUUGAAAUCUAAGGUUGCCUUUUAUCUUUUUGCAUAAUAAUUCAUCCAGAGGUGAGAAAAAUGUGAAACCACAUUGAGUAAAUUAGUGGGGAAGCCUAGUUCAUAAGAAAAUUUAAGGUUCUUGGAACCCACCUACCUUUUUAAGGAAGAUAAGUGAGAAGAAGUUAUGGUAUAUGGUUGCCCUUCGUUAAAAUUUUUGAAAAAAUCACCAAAGGCUAUGUUACUUCUUUGUAACACUGUGUUAAAAUUUCAUCAACAAACUCUCUGAAUAACUCAAGUUAAAAAUGAUUAAGUACCUAUCACCUUGGGAUGAUCAAAUAAUUUUAAUUAUGUUUGUACUGAUCCAAUGCACCCCAAAUUUUUACAGUAACCUAAUGAUGUUAUGUCUAAUCUACUGUUAAAUUACCAAGGUUAUACCUCCCUACUUGAAGAUUGAAAUAAAAUUUGUACGAUGGACCUAAUUAAAUGGACGAAAGAAAUCAUAAGUAAGGGUAAUGGUCCUUUUCGGAAGAGGUACAAAAAACAUUCAGAAAUAGGAUAACUUUCUGAUCUAAAGUUUAAUAAAGUUAAGUUGUAUAUAUGUACACAAUCAUCAUCAAAUCAACCUCAGGUUUUAUACCACAACACACUUUACCUUAUGCAGAUAAAGAAGGUUUAAGAACCUUGUUUAGGUGAAUGUGGUCAUAAUGUAAAUUACACUUCAGUGCUAAUUCAUGUUUUGCAUCCUGUGUGAGAAAGCAUGGAAGUUUGAACUUGAUGCAAUUGCAUUUCGUGUAGAGCUGAAGCUUGCUGACAGAACAUACGAGCUUCACCCGAUGCCAGAAGAACGAGCCGUAGCUGAUCUGCAUCAAGUCGGAGUCGAGCCCGUGCAAGAGCAAGCCGAGGACCAGCUAACUAACUCCCAAUGUGAAGGCAAGCCUCGGAGCAUUAAUUCCUAUUUUUAAAUACAUGUAAUAUGAUUGAUUACUUUGGUUGCGCAUUUACGUCUCUAGGAAUUGAUUGAAACCGUAGAUGCAUGACUUAGUACCCUUUGAUCUGAACACUAGUAUGAUAAGCUAAGUAGUUGCAAUGCUUAAUAGGACUCGGUAAAAGUCGAGUGAUUGCCUGUCACACGCGAGUUAUAGGAGUUGAUUGCUUUCCUUUUGUUACAACUAUAAGGAUGAUGGACGGGGCAGGGCUCUGUGAACUAUUUUUGGUGGUCGGUGGAUUGCCCCAUUUGUCUACAUGAAAUUGGACUAAGGUCGAGAUGUGAUAGUGUUCGUGAUUAAGUGUUUGAAAGUACUAAUCUCAUACCUAGUAUGGGAUGGGGAAGCUUAGUACCUGGUUGAACCGAGACGUGAGCAGAUCGCCCCACUGUCUCUGGAACGAAGUUCCCUUGCGGCCCCAUGUGGUGACAAGUGCGGUCAUAGAACGGUAGAGGUCUGGUCUAUGGAGCCUUGUACCGAGGGAAGUGGGCCCGACACGGGUCUGGGAAUUGAUGGGGACGGCUGACAAAUGAAGCGACCCUUCGCGGUGCGCGGAUGUCGUGGGAUUAGGUUCGCCAUGCAUGGUUAAGAAAUUUUGAAUCGAUUCGUCUGCCUCUCACAGUUUGGGACUACUUGAUCGCUAUGCUACACUGAGUAAGAAUGAAAGAUGAUGAUGAUCUAAUAUUGUUACUUGCAUUAAUUGCUUGGAAACUAUGCUCGGUUUAGUAUAGUUGCUAACUCAGAAUGGUAAAACAAUAGUAGAACUUAUGACUAAAAUAUUAAAAGUAAGGACCUACACUAGUCGCUUUUGGCAAAAACAAACCCCAGAGCAAAAAAAAAUCUUGCAUGUCUAGGUAUUGGUGGAUUACUACCACCGGUCGGUUAAGUCUUGUUGAGCGUAGUCGCUCAGCCUUGUUGUGUCACAUCUUUUCAGGUGACGUUGAUACCCCUGAGCUCGCUGCAAGUGGCACUUGGCCUACCCAACUUCCUCCAGGUCGGACGGUUGAGUGGGAUCCCUCCUCAGACGGUGAGGACAGGGAUCAUUGAUGUCAUGAUCGGCUUCUUCAUGAUAUCAUACAACGAUGUCUAGCUUCCAUUUAUUUGUUUCUAUUAUUUGAAAACUCUGCAAACCUUGUUUGAAUUUCGAACUUGAUGAUGUAAUAAUUUGAUACACUUGUUUAAUUGAGAUGGACUGUUGUAAUCUCUGUAACCACUCGCCUUCGUGCGAGUCUUGCUUUCUCGAUCCUGAGUUAAGUGGUUUACCGGAUGAAAUCCGACGGACGACCAAGUUGACUUGUUUAAAGUACAUGAUUGUUUGUUAAGCGACUUAUGUGUGCUUUAGCUAUGUUAGUUUCGGCGGUUCUGCCACAAUUUGGUUGAAGAAUUUCUAGCCAUGGACAUUUGGCCCCUUUCCCAUGGGUGGACACCGAAGGAAAUCAGGAUGGAGACUGUAACGUAGUACACAAGCCGGUUCCUUUUCCUCUCUUUGGUUUGAGCUUGCCAGAAGGGGUGAAUGCUAGUCUUUUUGUUGAUGAGGUUGAGAGACAUACUGUUGAUAUCCUUGGGCCUUAUCAUGAGAAUGAACAUCUGUCGGCUCACAAGAUUGUUACACACGGUGUCCGAGUGAACCAUGUAUUUUCUGAGAUGGGAAUAGAAGUGGAGCCUCGAGUCAAGCCUCGUAAACCCUCGAAGCGGCUACGCGAGGCUGGUGCUACUGGUUCUCUGGAAAUUGGCAGCAAUGUAGGGAAAGGGAAAAAAAAAGAAAGCUGAAGACUCAUCUGCCAUGGCCGUUGUUGAAGUUGGGAAGAAAUCCAAGACCAUUGGUUCUGAGGCCCUUAAAAGGAAAAGUCUUCUUAGUCAAAGUGCUUUUGAUGAUCAAGCGUUAGGUUCAUCCAGCAAAAGGCUCGAGGCUACGGAGGAUUCGAAACCCUUGACUCGAAAGCUCGAGUUUAAAGCUAUUGAUUCCAACAUUGAGUUCGCAGCUGUGGGGGCUUUGGCAGGUUUGAAACUUAAGAAGGCUGCCAUGAAGUUUGGACAGUGAAUUCUGAGUGCCUUAGAUGAUGAUGACGAUGAUGGUGGUUUUGUGGAUGAGGAUUCAUCUUUGAUUUCCCUUUGCGAGGUUUGCUUGAUGACAAAACUUUUGAUUCUUCUACUCAAAAAGAGUUCACCCCAAGGCUGCCAUUCCUGCCAACAAGGCUAUUCCUGACUCUUCAGUUAUGCCCGGUGCUGUGGAGGCCGCGGAGCAGCCGUUGCCUACUCAAUCAGGUAAAAAUGUCAUUGAAUUACCACCUGAAUUAAGCUUCGUGAAUGUUAGCAGCGUUUCCACUAAAUUUUGUAUGGAAUUGCAAAAUAUUGUUGGCGCAACUGGAGAGCCAUAUACUGAACCCUUGUUGCUUCUGAGGGUGGACCCUCUGCCCGAGGGUUCUGCCCCGCCUCAGUCUGUGCUGGACUACGAUAAGGCUUUCAGAACAGAUCUUAAGGAGAAAUUACUGGCUGUCUAUGUGCCCGGGUCAGGUGUGGAUGACGAUCCUUUCAAUCCUCCACUACUAUGGGGAUCGAGGGACUCACUUCGGGUUGUAUGUGUCUUGGCGGAAGCAGCUUUGAAGGAGACGUCUAAGAUCAAUGUUUCUUCCGAGGUUCAUGAGGAGGGUGAACUUGCUAAAGAUGAAGGGAAAAUCCUCAAGCUCCUGCGAGGGUUAAGGCUUCUGUUCAAACUGACACCCGGGGCAGUUAUUUCGAUCCCGAGGGUUAGUAUUUUGUGGGAUUUCUCUCUCCCUCUCUUUUUCAUGAGACCUUUGCUUAGGAUUUUUGCUUUUAUUUUGCAGAAUAUGACAAAAUUUUGCGCUAUUAUGACCCCGAUCAUUUGGCAAGGAUCACAAGUACCAUCGGCUAUAAGGUGUGACUUUUGUUGUUGUUCUUAGCGUUUUUCCUUGAGCCUUUGAAUUUUUUCCUUGAUAUACUUUUUGCUUUUUUUGCUUUUUCUAAGUUGUAUUUGCUAGCAAGGUUGCUAUUGACAAGCUUCAAGAUAAAGAGAAAGUUAUGCUUGAGCGGAGUGCUAGAAUUCUUGAGCUCGAGACUGAAAUGUCGUGGUUGAGGAAAGAGAAUUCCACGUUGGAUAGUCUUUGUACCUCACUUAAGGAAGAAAAUGAUGAGCUUAAUAAGAAUAAAAACCUUCUUGUGAAGACAUGCAGUGAUCUUGCUCAAAAGGUGGAAACCUUGGAAAAGAACUCACAAGACAACCUUGAGGUUCUUGAGAAGCUGCGCAGUACCAUUGAGAGAGAUGCGGACGACCAUUAGUUGUCUAAGGAAAAACAACCAGGAGCUUGCAAAGUCUUGUACUGAAAAGGAUUCAAUGAUUCACAAAUUGGGGAAGAACAACGAGGAUCAACAAGGUUUUAUUGAUAGGGCGGAACAAGUGUUGAAGGCCUGUUUUUCACAUAUUUAUGAUGGGUACAAGCUUGCACCAGGGGCGGAGCCUCUUCCUUUCCCUACUGAUAAGGGUGCCAAGGAAAUAUUUGAUUGGAUUGAUCAAGAAUUUGAGUCCUUGCCCUUAGUUAUUGCUGGAGCUAGCGACUAUGCCCGUGAAUAUCUUGUGUAGGUUCAUACUUUUGUUUUUUGUUUUAUUUUAUGUCUUGCUUGGUUAUUUUCUUAUUGUAUUGUUUUGAGCAAACCAAGGAAGAGGAGUUAAGGGAGAAGGAUGAGGCUAGAGGUUCGGAGCAACAAGAGGUGGAGGCUCAAGGCUAAAUUUAAUUGAAGACUAGUCUUUUGAUGUAUAGUUUAGUGUUAGGAACUAAAAUAUUUGUUGGUUGUAACUUAACCUGCGCAGGUCCUAGGUGAUGGGCCUGCGCAGGACAUAUUUCCUCUUCGAUUUCAUCGUGGAAACGUUGUUGCCAAUGGUCAUGCUUGGCGCCUCUAUCGUUCUUUCCAUCCCAAAGCUAGUUUUCAAGAUUUCUGGUGUUUUUGCUAUGAAUGCUUUUUGUGCAAAGCUUUAAAGAUCAAGUAUGUUUGUUCAGCAAGAUGUUUAAUGAGUAAAAUUUUGAUUAGCCUCGAGGGGGUCAUUGAUCUGUUGCUUUAACGUAAUUCUCACACAAACGGAUGAAAACUUUUUCUGCGAAAAACAUCACCACCCCCCCUUGAUCAAUGAUAGGGUCAUCCUCGGAUCAUUUUCUUUUUGAUGUAAUUUUUAUCAAAGUUUAUGUAUUCAAGUAUUCUAAUAAUAAGUCGACAAAAACUUGUUCCAAGUUUUGCGGACUUAAAAAAUUGGAUCAAAAGUCAGGUCGAAAUCGCAACUCUUGGUUGCUUCGACCAUAAAGUUGGAGCCCUGUGAGGUUAGAUAAAAUUUUGUAUAAACGCUGAGCAUGUAAAGCUGAUGCCGCAACUUGUUGUUGCUUUUGGCUAGGUUUUGCGUCGAAAUGCAACUCUUUUUUCACACAGAAAUGCGAUGUUUCGCUUGCGCAGAAAUGCAAGGUUCAAGGUAUUCAAAAAGGAAUAUUGGUGUUGCAACUUGUUGUUGCUUCUACCCAAUGUUUGUGUAGAAACACAAGUUUUUAAUCAUACGGAAAUGCAAGGUUUCGCCACAACUGGUUGUUGCUUUUGGCUUUAGCUUGCACAGAAAUGCAAGUCUCGAUUGCGCAGAAACGCAACAUAAUGGCCCCUUUGAGGCUUGACAAACACAAGGUAAGGGGGAAUUGUACUUCAUUAGAAUGUAAAGGUCUACAUGGAUCCGCCUUGUUAAAAACCUUGCCUCCAGUGUGGAUCCCCCCUAGCAAGGAAAAGAGUACGAUCUAUUUGCAGGAAAGUAAACGCGAGAAAGUAAAUUUUCUAACCUCACCCUGUUUAUAGAUUUAAUGGCGGAGGGUUCUUACAAGUUUGGCAACUAUGGGUAGUAUUUGCGCAAGUUAUCCACAUUCCAAGAAUGCAGUAACUCUGCUCCAAGCUGAUCUAUGAGGUAAAAGGAUCCUGGCAUGUUGCUUCGAGUGACAAUGUAAGGCCCUUCCUAAGUUUCUUGUAACUUCCCGAGGUUCUCCCAGUUCUUUCUCUUUUUUAUGACAAGAUCUCCUAUCUUGAUUUCUUUUUUCACUACUUUCAUGUCCCUCCAUUUUCUUGUUUGUUGUUGGUACUUGUCAAGGUUUUCUUCUGCUUGCAGUAUGUCCAGUUCUAUCAUAUCUUUGUCGAUCUUCUCGUUGUCUGAGGAAGCCUCAAUCUUAAGUACUCUUAAGCUUUUAUUCUUGAUUUCUUUUGGUGUCAUGGCCUUGGAGCCGUAUAGCAGCCGGAAACAUGAGAAGCCUGUCGUCCUUGAUGUUGUGGUGUUAUGAGACCAUAUGACUUUAGGCAGUUCAUACAAACAUUUCUUGAUGCUCAAAAAGAUUAUCAUGUUCGCUCUUUUGACAGCCCCAUUAGACUGUGGUUGAUACACUUAUGCGAAUUUUACUUUGGUUCCCAUGGUUGCACAAAAUUCUCUAGUCAUUACAAUCAAAUUGUUUUCCAUUAUCAACUGUUAACUCUCUAGGAACUCUGAACCUGCAGACGAUGUUCUACCAAAAGAAUUUUUGUACGGAGCCUGAGGUUAUGUUUGCCAGUGGCUUAGUUUCGAUCCAUUUGAUAAAGUAGUCAACUGCUACUACUGCGAACUUGCAGUUGCAUUGAGCAGUUGCUAGUGGUCCUACUAAGUUCAUUCCCCACCUUUGUAAGGGCCAGGUUGGUGGUAUUAAUUACAAAGGCAAUGAGGGUGACCUCUGCUGAUUGGUUGUUUUCUGACAAGCCUUGCAAGUUUUUACCAAGUUUCUGGCAUCAAAAAUAGCAAUUGGUCAAAAUAAACCCUACCUUACGACUUUGCCUACUAGAGCUCUGGUUCCAAUGUGUGAACCACAAAACCCAUUGUGGAUCUAUGCUAACAAUUCUUUCCUAUUUUUCAAGGUUAUACACCCUAGCCAAGGAGCUGAUAUCCCUUAUUUGUACAAUUCGCCGUCGACUAUGGCAUAGCCCUUAGCCCUUUGCUUCAUUCUAUUUAAUUCAACCUUGUCAUGUGGCUUGAAGUGUCCUCUUAGGUAGGCCAUAAUUGGAGCCCUCCAAUCAUAUGUUGUGAUUGCGUUUACUACCCUCGGGGCUUGCUCUUUGGUUGAUGGAGAGUGUAUGACUUCAUAGAAUACAUCAGGUGGCAUGGGUUGAUUUUGUGCAACUGCUUUUGCUAGCUUGUUUGCCUCAUCAUUUUCUGCUCUUGGGAUGUAUUGAACAGUGUAUCCUUUGAAAUACUUUUCCAUGGAUCUUACUGUUGCUAAGUAUUUCACUAGCUCUAGCUCUCUCGCCUCACUUCCUUUCUCGAUGUGCUCUUGAAUCACUUUGGAAUCUGAUUUCACUAUGAAUACUUGUUGACUCAAUGCCCUCAUUUUCCUUAGCCCCAAAAGCAGUGCUUCAUACUCUGUGGUGUUGGUGGUGGACCUUGCUUUGCCUUUGAAAUCAAGCCUCACUGCAUAUCUGAUUUUAACGCCCGAGCGUGAAGUGACAAUUGCUGUCACUCCUACUCCCUUCUCACAUCAAGCUCCAUCGCAAUGUAUAACCCAUGGAACUUUGAUCUCAUCAGUUUCACUAUUGCAUGGUGAUGUCCAGUCGACUAUGAAAUUGGCUAAGACUUGUGAUUUGAUUGCACUUCUUCUCUCGAAGUCUACCACAUACUCAAACAAUUCUGAUGCCCAUUUUGUGAUUCUCCCUGAGGCUUCUCUAUUUGUGAAUAGACCAUGUAGAGGCUGGCUGGUGACCACCACUAUUCUGUGUCCCUCAAAGUACUGCCUUAGCUUGCGCGCUGCCAUUAUUACAGCAUAAGUGAUUGUUUCUAGCUUUGAGUAGAACAAUUUUGACCCUGAUAAUGCUUCUAAGGCGAAGUAUACAAGAGUUUGUCUUGGUUUACCCUCGAUUUCCUUUUCUUGCACUAAGGUAGCACUGACUGCAGAGCUCGAUGCUGACAAAUAUAACAACAAAGGAGACUUUGGUUUGGGUGGGCACAACUUCAUCAUGUUUGUUAGGUAGUUUUGAAGUUCUGCGAAAGCUUUGCUUUGCUGCUCUCCCCAUUCAAACUUUUUGGAGCUUCGCAACACUUGGACAAAGGGUAGGCUUCUCUCAGUUGCUCUGGGAUUGAAUCUGUUGAGGGCUGCUAUUCUUCCUAUCAAUUUUUGCACAUCUUUUACUGAAGCAGGUUCUUCCAUGUCAACUAGAGCUUGGAUUUUGUCUGGAUUGGCCUCGAUGCCCUUGGUUGAGACCAAGCAUCCUAGCACCUUGCCUUGUUGAAUUCCGAAUACACAUUUUUCUGGAUUCAGCUACAAGUUUGCUGCUCUCAGGUUAACAAAUGUUUCUGCGAGGUCAUGAAUAUGAUCUUUUCGUUUGUCACUUUUUACCAUAAAAGCUAGGAUGUUUCUUCGAAGUUGUGUGCUAAGGACUAUUUCUAUCAUUCUUGAGAAAGUUGACCCCACAUUCUUGAGCCCCUUAGGCAUUCUCACGAAGCAGUAUGUUCCGAAUGGAGUGAUGAAACUCGUCUUUUCCUCCAUUGGGACUUCGUGAUAGCCUGAGAACUUAUCUAGUAGUGAUAGCAUUUCACUGUUUAUAGCAUCAUCUACCACCUUGUCAACCCUUUCUAAUAGGAAGUCAUCUUUUGGGCAUACCUUGUUGAGGUUGGUGAAAUCUAUGCAUAUUCUUCAUUUGCCAUUUUUCUUCUUGACUAGAACUGUGUUUGCUAGCCAUUUAGGAUACAUUACCGUGUGUAUCACAUUGGCAUCAACUAGCCUUUGAACCUCUGCUUUGACGACUUGUAUUUUGUCUUCUAAUAUUAUUGGAAGCUUUUGCUUUUUUGUUCUCAUGCCUUUGUUUAUUUCUAACUUGUGUUCUAUUACAUCUCUAUCUACUCCUUGCAGGUCACGUGUAGACCAUGAGAAGACAUCUUUGUUUUGUUCAAGAAUUCUAUUAGCUGCUUUUCUUCAUCAAGCUCGAGGUUAGCACCGAUGAUUACAGCUCUAUCGAGGACAUGCUCGUCUAGCAGCACUCUUUUUGUUUUGCCAUCUGCACUCAUUUUCACUUUUUAUUUAUCUCUUUUAGGUUUGACGUAUGGCUUUUUCUUCUCUAAGGGCUCAACCUUGCUGGAGCUUGCCAAGUGGUGUACAUUUUUCUGCCCCGGAGUGUUACCCUUUUCAUUGUCUCGGACCAACUGUUGGUCACCAAAUACUAUGAUGAGUCCUUUGAGAGCCGGGAUCUUCAUACACAAGAAUAAUUGCCUUAUUGCAGCGUCGAAUUUGUUGAUGAAACCCCUUCCAAGGAUUGCAAAGUAAGGAUAAUACAUUUUCAUGACAUCAAAUGUAAUGUGCUCUGUUCUGGCAUUGUCUAGUGUUCCGAACGAUACUGGCAGUGUGAUUUUUUCCAAGGCUCUUACUGGCUUCCCCCCAAAACCAAGCAAGGGUACUUCUGCUGGUUGUAACAGGUGAGGGUCAAUUUUCAUCUCUCUGAACGUGUUUGAAAAGAUGAUGUCUGCUGAGCUUCAAUUAUCAACUAGCACUUUCCCAAUUGUCCAGCAUGCAAUGAUGGCCUCGAUUAUCAUCGCAUCGUUAUGUGAGGCUAUCUUUAGUUUGAAAUCUUCCUUAGUGAAGGAUAUUGGCAUGUGUGCCCAUUGUGGCUUAGCCGGAGGUCCAUCGGGGAUGAUUGAGUGGACUUCCCUAAAGUAAUUUUGCCUAUGUUUUUUGUUUUUGAAUUCUAGCGACAAACCGCCUGAUAUUGGCAUGAUCAUGCGAUGGGUGGGCAAGACGUUGGAAUCGGAUUUUGGAUUUUCAAACUCUUGCGAGGAUCCCCCUUAUAUUGGCAUUAUCAUGCCGUAGGUGGGUAGAGCUUUGGGAUUGCUAUUUUGACCAUUAUUAGGUUCGGCUUUGGGUAUUUGAUUGGAAAGAUUUGGUGUAGGUAGUGGUAUUUCUUGUAGAGGCUGAGACGGUGUGAAACUUGCAGUUUGCGAGACUUGCUAACUUUGAGAUUGAAACUGUGGAUCAUGGUGGGUUGGUUAUUGAAGGAUGGGUUGGUGAAUGAACUCGCGAGGGUAGGUGUAUGGGCGGUAUUGGGGCCUCGGAGGUCCUCUGCCUCGGUUCCUUCCCCUGCCUGAGUGGCCUCCUCUUUGCCAUUGUCAUAAUUUGUUUGUUGUUGUUGCUGGGGUUGUCCAUUCUGAUUUUGACUUUGUUGCUGUGAGGGUUGAGCGCCUUCGAUCGGUGGCACAUGUUGAGCUGGAUAUAGCUGUUGAUGUUGUGCAAAAUUGUAUUUUGGGGUUGGCCAAUUCUGAUCUUUCAAUGUUUGCCUUUGGCGAUUUCUCUCCAUUACUCUUUUCCUGUAGUCUUCAUCUGACCAGCAGUAUUUUUCCAACGCAGCGAACAAAACUUUCAUGGUUUUAGAUUUUUCCCUUGAUAGGUGCGAAGCUGUCGGGCCUGAUGUUAGCCCUUUGAUGCAAGCUGCUAUGGCUACACUUUCGUCCACAUCUGGAGUUUGUGACUUCAAUUCUUCGAAUAUUUUGACAUAAUUGGCUAGACGUUCUUUAUCUCUCUGGAUACAGUGGAACAAGUCACCCAAGUCUAUUGUUGCACGAUGGAAGCUACUGCAACUUCGUAGCUCAUAGGAACUGUCGAGGGUCAUUUUGCCCAUUGAACUUUAGCAGUGAGACUAUCUUGUAGGUUGGAGGCUAGAGAGUUGUUUGCAGACCUAUAAAUAAUGGAGAGCUUUGGCCAAUUGCUACAUUGGUGCCUAUCACCACUAGCACGUUGUGUCCAGUAAGGUUAGGAUGUGUUUGCGGGAUGUUUGCGGUGUUCAUGACAUAUUGCUGUCUCGAGGCUGGUGGUUGUGUUUUCAGUUGUGGUGGCGUGUUUUGUAAGUAAUCCAACUCUUCUUGCAAUUCUGCCGAUUGUUAUUUUGCUUGAUUUAGCUUUGCUAAUUUUUGUGCUACUAGACAUUGGGCUUCUAGUUCUUGUGCAAAUCUUUCUUUUUCUUGUUUUAGAGUUUCGAGUUGCCUUAGCAUUAUGGCCAACUCCUUUUCUGCUACACCUGGGUCGUUUCUUGUGCUUAACUCGGGUUGUGCUUGGUUUGCUGCUUCUGCCUCGGCUCUUUUUUUCCCACUUCUUAUCCAUAAGUUAGCCUCAACUCUCUUUAACUUCUCUAUGAUAUAUGUGUCAUCUUAAUCAACAGGGACAAGUUUUUUCUCUUGAGCCGCAGGGUUCUCUCUUUCACCCUAGGCGACUCCCUAGGGUGUCUUCUUUUUCUUCGCUUGUAGCAUUGUGGUUUGUUUUGUGACUAUGACCACGGUGGGCGCCACUGUUGGUGUCAAACAAGUUUAGCACCAAACAGAUUUAGGGUUACAAAUGAUACAUAGCCUUCCUUUCAAUUGAAAAAGUGAUCCAUGACCUACUUUACAUUCUGAAAAUGUCCUCACUCAGCCACUAGGAUAUGCCGUACAUAAAGGUCAUUAAAGAACACGUGUACAAAUUGAACUUUUUCAUGUGGUCAUGCUUCUCACGCCUUCCGCCCGUUAACCUCGGGAUUCGUCCUCGUUCUGAGCCGAUCGCUUAGCCUCGAGGUUUCAUCCACGUCCCAAGUCGAACGCCUAGCCUUGAGGCGCCUGCUUCGUUGAGCCUUGAUGAAAAGUCGUAACCUCGAGCAGUUCUUCUCUGAGCUUCUUCCCUUAGUAAAGAAUAAGGAGGUGGAAGCCCUGUGUUCGAAAUCAAUUCUAAAUACUCGAGGGUCAAUCCAUUGGAAGUUAGUCAUUAUUAUUAGCAUCGUCCCUUCCAGUGGGCUAGACAAUGUGAGGGUUCAAGACUUAUUCCCCAAAAGCACUUCUGUAGAAUUUGCGAGGUUAAAGAUUUUGUUCUUCUUAUUAUCGGCAUGCAACUUGCGAGGUUAAAGGUUUCGCAUGUUGCAAUCCGCGCUCGAAGGUACUUAGGACUUGUUUAGUUGCUAAAGUUUGGAGGUGCCAAAUUACUGUUACAACACUGUAGCACACUGUAGCAUUUCGUUUGUAUUUGUGAAUUAUUAUCCAAACAUUGACUAAUUAGGCUCAAAAGAUUCGUCUCGCAAAGUACAACAAAACUGUGCAAUUAGUUUUUAAUUUCGUCUACAUUUAGUACUCCAUACAUGUACCGCAAGUUUGAUGUGAUAGGGAAUUUUCUUUUUGCAUAGUGUUAAAAUUGGAAGUUGGGGGUGAAGGGCUUAGGUUUUGGCGAUCCUCAACGUACUGAAAACUGAAAAGACAUGGCCAGUUGCCAAACGAAAAGAAGCACUGGUCUGAAGAAAGAGAGACACCCGGGCCCGGGGCACCACAGCAUCUCGAUCUUUUCCAAGUCCUCUCUAAUCGCCAUCAGCUGAUAAAAAUGGUGUGGGAUCGAUGUGACUACCGCUAAACUGACUGCUGUCCAUGCAUGCGUGGAUGCUUCAGGAACACACUCCCAUGCGUCCCGUAACCCGCACGUCUAAUUUGCCACACCUGGUUAAACGUGAAAAUCCGUGUGGUUUAAUAAGCGCAUAAAUUCCCUGACCACACUUGACUGGUAUACUCACGUGGGCCUCGUGAGAUCCGGGUCUUGUUUAGUUGCCCUGAAUUUGGGUGUCCAAAAUUACUGUUGUAGCACUGUAGCACACUGUAGCGUUUCGUUUGUAUUUGUGAAUUAUUAUCCAAAUAUUGACUAAUUAGGCUUAAAAGAUUCGUCUCGCAAAGUACAACAAAACUGUGCAAUUAGUUUUUUAUUUCGUCUAUAUUUAGUACUCCAUGCAUGUACCACAAGUUUGAUAUGACGGGGAAUCUUCUUUUUGUAUAGUGUCAAAAUUGGGAGUUUGGAUGGAAGCCCCGGUCUCGGGUUACAGCCAAGAAGUAGUCAACUUAUUCGUGCCAAGAAAAGUGAUUAAAAACGUACACCAGCAGCUGAGCUGAUAACAGUAUGGAUAGGUGCAUGCAUGGAGGCAGUGUGGCUAUCGAAAAGGCCGUUGCUGCCUAUAAAUUCAGCCCAACCAACCAAUGCUCCCGGCAUCGCAUCCGAGUGACUGAAGUGAGCAUUUUUAGCUUCAAGAUCACACGCAACAGAGACGCGGAGAGGAAGCAAGAAAAGAAGAGAGGGAGUUGAGGGUGUGUUGGACUGUUCCACUUCAAUUUUUCCAGCUUCCAAACCAUCUUGCCAAGCACCUCCAACUCCAACAAUCCCAAUUCUAAAAAAAAAAGAUGGAUCUAGAGGGCAACUUUAAGGUUUUUAUGAAGGUGCUUCGAAAAUACAGGUUUCAAAUAUCCUUAUAGAGUUGAGUGAAAAUUACCACUGCGUGUCUUUCUCUCUAUUCUUUCUCUCAACACAGGUUUCAAAGGUACCGAUUCGUGAGGUAAAAAAAAGAACGCCUCGCUAUUCUCUCUCUCAACGCUUGCGUGUCUCUCGCCGCCGGCCAUGGCCCCUCCUGGGCCGCGGCACUGUCGCCGCCUGGCUGCGGUCUCCCCUCGGUGCAUCGCCGCUGCUGGCCGCGCCGCCGUUGCUGGCCGAGCCGCCAUCGCUCCGCUCGUCAGUUCUGCCCGUCAGGGCCGCACCUCCGACGCGCGCUAGGGCCGUGCUAUUGGUCACCCUGGUAAUGGAAUCCUCGGCAGCCUGCAUCUCACCCCGUUUUUGGAACGAGUAAUGUAAGAACUAAUCUGUCAAAUCCAUCCUCGGUAUUAGGAAUUAGAAAACUAGGAUCCGCAUCACCAAUUCACCAAAGACAUACGAAUUUGAGUGACAAGCAGGUUUACUUCAUUCGAGGAGAGACGUUUCGCAGUGUGCUCAUCAUUUUGAUUUGAAUCACCAAUUCACUGAAGACAUACGAAUUUGAGUGACAAGCAGGUUUAUUUCAUUCGAGGAGAGACGUUUCGCAGCGUGCUCAUCAUUUUGAUUUGAUUCCCGUAUAUUAUCUGUUUCAAUUUGGGUACAGUAGCUCGCGAAAAAAGAAAACACCAACCCAACUAAGACCAAUAGAGUCUAUUUUACAAAUUUCUACAAUUUCUGGAUCUGAAGUUUACACCAUUAGCCAAACAGAUUUAUAGAUCCUUAUUUUAUUAGAGUUGGUGGAGUGGAACUUUAAAAAACUGGAAUGUAGAGUAGAGUGAAAAAAAAAUUUUUUGAGCAAAGCAGUUCCAAACACGCUCCUACUAUCGGCACUACAUCAGCAGCGGCGGCGGGUACAGCACGAAGAAGCGGCCGCCGCUGAGGAGGGGCCAGCUCAAGCGGCGGAUCGUGAGGACCAUCAGCAAGCUCGUGGUGCCGAGCAGCGCCGACGACGGAGGCCGGCCGAGCCAAGCGGCGGCGGUGGACCGCAGGUUCAUAAGAGAACCGAGCGACAACUGAGCCUCCGCAACACACGCUGCUUGGACGAGCGCGCUGUGUAUAACAUGCAUGUGUAUAGCUACGUAGUAAUACCGUAUAGGAUUUUUGUUUUUUUUCCCUUUUCGUGUGUUCAGCUUCACAUGGAAACGCAUCCCUCCGACUGAAAGGUUUCUGUACGAUAAUUUCGAUUGAUGUAUCUUCGCGUUCAGAAAUCAGAACCUGCUACAUCUCCAGCAGCUGAUGCCUGACGCCGGCCAGCAGCGGAUCGAGCAUCCCAGCCUCCAGGGGCUCCACGACUCCUCUGCCCCGAAACCGCUGUCUGCUGGAGCACGCGCGCGCUUGGGAACGGACGACGGACAGCAGGGUGGCGUGCGCCGCGCUCGCGAAGCCGACGCAGCCGCGCCGUGCAACGAGAUGGCAAACCGCAAACAAACAGGCAAGGGCGGGCCGACGUUUCGUUGUGCUGGGCCAGAAAGUUCGCGCAACUACUGACUGAUUGGGCCACGAGCGGUAGCCAUUCUGGCCCGCUCGUCCGCAAUUUGGUCUUCCGGGCCCAUGCUUUCAGCCAAAAUAUUCUCUUCUGCUGGUCGGUCAAACGUCUGUCGCCGACAAGUCUUUCUGCUGGCCGUCGUUGAACAUUUACGAAGCCCGAACGGGUGCAUGCGCAUGGCUGAAUGGCUCUGCCGUGACCGUAGCAGCAAAAGAAAAUGGCGUCUGGAUCACCGGCGGGACUAGAGAUGGCCUCUAGGUGCCACGAGUCCACAACCUCGUGCGCCUGCGGUCUGCGUCAACAUACUCCCUCUGUCCCGUUUUAAUCGUCGCUCAGGAACCACGCUGCCCUCACAUUCCUGAUUCCCGAGCAACAAUUAAGACGGGACGGAGGGAGUACGCAGAUUCUCCUCUAUCUAGAAUCCCUGAUGCGCACCCCUCUACCAGUUUAACAAGUUAGUUAAAAAAAAGUUAUUUUAAGAUGAUUCUAGAUCAAACUUUUUAAGUUCAUUUUCAAAAAAACUUUUUAAAUUUGAUAAAGAUUAUAAAAAAUAUAAAUAUUAUGGUAUGAAAUAACUGUCAUUAGAUUUAUUAUGAGAUAUAUUUUUAUAAUAUACCUAUUUGAUGCCAUAAAACUUGAUACUUUUCUCUAUUAAAUUGGUCAAAGUGAAGAAAGUUUUACUUAACACAAACCUAAAAUGACUUAUUAUUUUUUUAGACAGAGGCCGUAUGUCCGACUUUUUUGUAUUUUGGCCCUUUUUGCGAAAAAAUUUCACAAAUAGGUCCCUGGCGAAACCAUUUCCGAAAAUGGACCCUCGGCUUGGCGCCAGGCUGGCUGGCGCCAAGGUAUAACGUCUUGGCGCCAGCCGUCCUGGCGCCAAGGUCGUACGCCCCGCCUCCGACGUGGCGCCGGCCCGAUCCACGUGGCGCGGAGGCUCGGCGCCAAGAUCCAUGGCGCCCAGCCUCGGCGCCAAGAUCCGUGGCACCAAGGCUCGGCGCCAGGAUGGCUGGCGCCCAGCCUUGGCGCCACGGAUCUUGGCGCCGAGGCUCGACGCCAGCCUCCCUGGCGCCGAGCCUCUUAACACAGCACCCGUGACCCUUUCCUUUUGCGCGACCGUUUGCAUUAUACUUGUUUUGAAUCGCGCCGCCGCCGCUCUCGGAUAGCGCCGCCACCGCCGCCGCCGCCGCCGCCGCCGCCGCCCUCGCCCGGCGCCCGCCCGCCCGAUCGAAGACGCGCGCCCCGUCGCCCGGCGGUCGCUCGCCCGAAGGUCCCCGCGGCCGGCCGAAGGCCGCCCGGCGCCCGCCCGCCGCCGCCGCCCUCGCCCGGUGACCGGCCGCCCGAAGGCCGCCCGGCGGCCGCCCGCCGCCGCCACCGUCGCCCGGUGACCGCCCGCCCGAGGCCGCCCUCGCCCAGAGCCGCCCCGGCCGGCGCCCCCGUGCGGCCGGGCCCCCGCGGUCGCGCACCCCCUGCCCCCGUCCGGUGGGCCUUGCCCGCGGCCGCCGGCGCCCGGAGCCGCCCCGGCCGGCGCCCCCGCGCGGUCGGGCCCCCGCGGUCACGCCCCUCCUGCCCCCGUCCGGUGGGCCUUGCCUGUGGCCGCCGACGCCUAGAGCCACCCGGCCCGGCGCCCCCCGCCCGGGCUCCCAAGGCCGCCCCGCGCCCGCCAUUGCCCGCGGCCGCACCUGCCGGUGGUCCACGGCCAGUCGUCCGCGUCAUCCACGACCGGUCUCCCGCCCCCACGCCUUGCCCGCCGGUGUUCACCGUUGAGGUAAACUCUAAGGAUAGUUAUAGUUAGUUAUAGUUAACUAGAUAAAAUAGUUAGAUAGAUGAAUUAGAAUUAUAUUGUUAGGUAGAAUUUAGAUAGGUAAGUAGAAUUGAUAGAUGAAAUAGUUAGAUACGUAAAUUAGAAUAGGUAGGUAGAAUUGUUAGAUAUGAAAAUUUAUCUUUAUGAAUUGCAAUGAUAGAAAGAUUAGAGGAUACUCAUAACACUAUUUAACUAGAUGCAUGUCCAAUUUUCUUUACGUAGUUAGAUGUACAGGUAGUUACAUAGUAAACUAGUUAUGUGUUAAGCAGUUGUAUAGGUACGUACCUAACUAACUAUUAGGUUAGUUAGUUGUAUGACCCAGUUAGUUAGAUAUAUUUGGUAGUUAGUAGGCAAUUGAUACUAUCUUAUUACAUACUAGAGAUCUUGUACUUAGAAUGUUUAAUUUAUUAUGGACUAAAUGAAUUGUACGUCAUUAUAUUGAUAUACUAGAUGGAGAACGUAGUGAGCAUAUAUUACGGAGGCACUGUGGAAAGGGAUGAAUAUGGAUGUGUUAAGUUUGUUGGCAUGCAGUGCGAGGUUGUCAUAUUCGAUGAGAAACCAUCGUUUAGUGAGUUGGUUGCAAGGGCUCGGGAGGUGUUACAUUGUCAUGAAAAUGAUGAAAUCACAGUCGAGGGUAUACUUCACCUAGGUUCCCCUCUCAACAUUCAAAGGAAGAUGGUCCCAAUUUGGUGUGCAGGUCAGUGGGAGAAAUAUGUGAGGACGGUUAUGAAUGGUCAUUCCCCAAGUGUUGAAGUGGUUGUUCGGCCGGUGGGAGUUGAUCGAAAUUCUCGUCGGUUUUCCCGACCAAUGGGUCAACGGGCACAUUUUGAUCCUCCCGUCCCAGAACCUGUUAUGGACAUGGAUGUUGCACCUACCAUUCCUGAUGCUGAAUCUGCCCCUAAUGAAGUAGUUGGACAUGGUUGUCGGAUUGUUGAUGAUGUGGCGGACUCUCCUAAUGAGUUCCUUUUCACUCAGAAUGAUCCGAGUAAGUGUCUCACUGAUUUCUAUUGAUACGAGAUAAUCCAUUCGUUCCAUCCACUUAUUCUUUACUCAUAUUUGUACUUGAUGGCGCAGGAGAUAUUCCAGAAAAUGUGGAUGUGCCUCUAGUUGAUGCGCAAGUGCAAUGUGGAGAUGGAUUUCGUGGCUCUAAUAAUGUUGAAAUUUUGAAUGAUGAAGAUGCAUACGAGAUGGGAGUGGGUCUUGAUUCUGAUGAUGAUCGUCCUGUUGGAGAGAUGACGGAGAGUGAUAUUGAGAUGUUCAGGCGUAUAUUCCCCGGACGUCGUGAUCCGAUAGUUAACGAGUUUAGCGACCUGAGUCUUUCCGAUCAGGCAUUUGCAGAAGGACGUGAUGAUGAGCUCCUAGAAGCUCCUGAAGCUGGUCCUAGUAUGGUUAUUGAGGAGGGUAGGGUAUUUAAGGACCUUCCCGCAUUGAAGAGAUGGUUGCAAGCUUUUGCGGUGAUACGGAAGAGACCGUACAAAGUGUUGCAUUCAUAUGCGGAGCGCCGUUACACAGUUGUGUGUGACAAGGAACGGUGUCCAUGGAGAGUUUGUGCAAGAAAGCAAAAUAUCACCGGGAAGUGGAAGAUCACAAAAGUUGUCGGUCCACACAAUUGUGCUGACCAUGAGCUUACAGUGAGACAUCCGCAGCUAACAUCUACCCUCAUUGCGAAGCGGUUGAUGGGAAUAUUGAAGAAACAACCCAACAUGAAAGUGAGAACAAUUAUAAGAACUGUUGAGGAGAUUUAUGGAGGAUAUGUGAUAACUUAUGGUAAAGCUUGGAGGGCUAAGCAGCGAGCGUGGAGGAUGAUUUAUGGGGAUUGGGAGUCUGGGUACGAGCAGCUGCCAGUUCUUUUUAAUGCAAUUAAAGCGGUGAAUCCAGGCAUGCAUUAUGAGUACAUCCCAAAGCCAAAUGCUUGGAAGGAGGACGGGAGGCAGAUAUUCGGGCGUGCGUUCUGGUGCUUCCCUCAGUCUGUGGAAGCCUUUAGGCACUGUCGUCCUGUUUUCUCUAUUGAUGGUACGUUUUUGAUUGGCAAAUAUAGAGGCACACUUCUUAUAGCCAUAUCUUGUGACGUGAACAAUAUGUUGGUUCCUUUGGCAUUUGCAUUGGUUGAGAGGGAGAACAAUGACAGUUGGGGGUGGUUCUUAAAACUAGUCCGGAUACAUGUGGUUGGUCCUGGUAGGGAGGUUGGCGUCAUAUCCGAUAGGCAUCAGGGUAUACUUCAUGCUGUGCAAGAAUAGAUAGAGGGUUAUGCACCUUUGCAUCAUCGUUGGUGCACUUGGCACCUUGCGGAGAACCUUCUUCGGAAGGAUGGUGUGAAGGAUAAUUUUGAUCUGUUUCAAGUUGCAGCACGGCAGCUUGAGGACUAUUACUUUCAGCGCAAAUUGGAGCAGGUAAGGACCACAACAAAUGCAGAAGGUCGACAUUGGCUUGCUGGUUUGAUGAGAGAUUUAGAUAAGUGGACUAGAGCUCACGACGCCGGUGGUUGGAGGUACGAGUUUCAGUGCAGUAACAUGGCCGAGUCAUUCAAUAAGUUGUUAUUGGGGAUACGUGGUAUGCCUGUGAACGCAAUCGUUGAAUUCACCUUCUACAGGCUUGUUGCGUGGUUCAAUGAAAGACACGCAAAAGCAGAAGCGUUGCAGGUUGCUGGGGAGAGAUGGGCUGAAAAACCAAAGAGACAUCUCAUCAUUGCAAAUGAAAGGGCUUCCACACAUGAGGUGCAAUGUUUUGAUCUCGGCUCAGGGACUUAUCAGGUGGAGCAUAAGGGCGGUACAACGUCCGACGGUGAGAUCCGAGAGUCGAGGAUACAUGUGGUAGUUCUCCGAGAUUUCAAGUGCACUUGUGGUAGACCAAGGCAGUACCACUUUGUAUGUUCUCAUUUGGUGGCAGCAGCUAGGCAUCGCAAUUUUGAUAUCGAGAGCAUGAUACCACAUGAGUUCAGCGUAGACACCCUUGUGCGGACAUGGAGCCCCCGCUUCGUGCCUUUCCGGGAUCCUAGAGAGUGGCCUCCGUAUGAUGGGCCAAAAUAUGUUGCGGAUCCUGCAUACCGUUGGAACAAACGUGGAACAAGGAAGCGGACGAGGCAUAACAUGACUAUGGAUCAGGUAUCCGGAAGAACAAGGCGUGGUAGAGCAACACCAUUUCUUGCUGAUCCAGAACAGAACGAGUGCGGCAAGUGCGGCAGAUUGGGUCAUAAUUCACGCACUUGCCGUUGGCAAAUUAGUGAGGUGCGACUAGUACCUUUUUUGUUACUUGAUAUGUGUUUUAUUCAUACAGGUUGUGUUUCUACAUCUCUAACUUCAUGAUUUAUUGUUUACUAAUCUUAUUUCUUUUUGCCUUUUUGUAGGAUGGCGCACUUCCACCUUCUAGACCAGGCGUACGACCAGACCCACCGAGGUCGUCUCAUAGCGGGAGGGCAGGUAAUAAUUUACAAUUCAUGAUUAAAGGUUUGCGAGCGUCCACGUCUUUUGUCCUAUGUAAUCUCUGACUUGGUUUAUUUGCAUGCAGGUCCUUCCGCUCCUUCGUUCUAGAGCCCAUGAUGGGUUUUUGGCGCUGCAGUACGACGACCGCUACACUCCUUUGCUACAGAUGGCUGGCCUCGAUGUCAUCUCGUAUCAGGUUCGUCGUGGGAUGCCCAAGUUCAAUUCAGCGGCUAUAACUGCGUUGGUUGACAGGUACUGUUACCACUAGUCAUAUUCAUUCUGUUAUGUCUUUACAUGUUAUCAAAUAAUAAUCCGGCGAAAUGUAGGUGGCGACCCGAGACUCACAGCUUUCACCUCCCGUUCGGAGAGAUGACAGUGACCCUACAGGACUGUCAGAAGAUGCUGGGUCUGUCGAUUCGGGGCCAGCCAGUCACUGGGCCGUGCGUCUCAGAUGGUUGGAGAGCACGAGUCGCAGCCUUACUGGGGCGAGAGGUUGAGGAGCAGGGGACUCGCACAUCUGGAGUGCUAAUCUCAUGGCUGCGGGAACACUUCGGCCAGUGCCCCCAGGACGCGGAUGCUGAGACAGUUGGACACUACUGUAGGGCGUGGAUCCUACACCUCUUUGCCUGCGUUAUUUUCCCAGACGCUACAGGUGACACUGCGUCUUGGAUGUGGAUCCACUGCCUCACUGACUGGCACCAGGCUGGUUCUUACAGCUGGGGAUCAGCUGUGUUGUGCUUUCUAUACCGGCAGCUGUGCGAGGCGUGCCAUCGGUCUUCGGGCUCCCCGUCAGUUGGUGGGUGUGUCUACCUGUUGCAAUUAUGGAUGUGGUCCCGUCUUCCUGUUGGUCGGCCCGAGAUUAUGCCGCGUCGACCGUGGUUCCCAGGUGAGCAUAUAUUUGGGAUCAGGUUAAGGUUAGCCAUACCAGGUUGGACCGCGCGUACCUGGAUUACAUCAACGAGAUAGACGCGCUCACUGCUCAUAGUGUAAGUGAAUUUUUUUUAAACAUGCUUUGUAAUCUUUUAGUAUAACAACUAACGUUUUUUAUUCAAAUUUUGCAGGUAAAUUGGCAGCCUUACGACGGAGACGAUCCACUUCCUUUUCCCCUUAGCUUCGUGUGUGCGACGGACGAUGAUAUUUAUAGGAUGGUGUGCCCUCUUAUUUGCUUCUAUGCUGUCGAGUACCACCUGCCACAUCGAGUCGCACGUCAAUUUGGGAUGAGGCAGAUUUGGCCACCACAGGCGACCUCGACUAGUAUAGAGUUACACAAGUAAGUCUUUUCCUAUUUCAUAUAUUUCGAUACUAUUAACUAAAUUUUGGCUAAUAGUAACGUGUAACGUGACGUGCAGCGUGGAUCGAAAGAAGAAAAGGAAGGUCUCCGAGUGGGCCUCGUUCCACCACGCAUACAUUCAGGAAUGGGAGCUGUUCGAGGAGAACGUGGACGAGAACAACGAGCCGCACACAAACAGUGCAUACAGACAAUACCAGAGCUGGUACCAAGGUGCGACGCGGCACAGGCUGAGGGAAGCGUGGACGCAAGAUGACUACGCUGAAAUCCAGUCAUCCGACGAUGAAGACACGGUGUACGAUCAGAGUACUCGUGCUGGAAGACAGGUGGAGGCAGGACCAAUCCUGGAUAGGAUGGUAAGACAAUUGCUUCACUUUUCUAUGUUCUAUGUUACGUUACUUAGAGAUUUAGAUAGUUAGAGAAGGACUUAGUGAUCAUCUGACUUAAUCAUUUAGUCAUUUAGUGACUUAGACAUUUGUUGCUUUAGUGACUUAGUCAUUUGUUGCAGGGCCGUACCCUACAAACCUCGGUUAGAGAUAUAGAGCAUAUCCGUCCACGAGUUAGGGACCCCGAGAUACGGAGCGUCCUAGAGGUAAGUCUCAAAUUAUUCUUUCUAAUCCUUUAUUCAUACGUUACAUUCUUCAUUUGUGUAACUUGUUUUUACUACUGCAGCGAUUGUCAAAUCGGCUUCGCCGUGCCGCUGCUCGUUGUGGUUGCAGGACUGCCACGACGCGAGACGUCCACGUUCCAGCCCUGCGCGUGACAGGCGUCGGUACGUCCACCCAAGGCCCCUCAGGUUCGAAAUCAAUUGCAUCCGAGGAACUCGACGACGACGAUGAUGAUGACGACGAUGAGCAGAGGGCCGAGGAGAUUGGCCCGUCUCAGCUCCAGGAGGCUCCCUUGACUCAGCCUACACAGGUUGUAGGGGGCACUAGACUACGUCGUCCACGUUCUCCUUACACUCCAGGCACCGACGCCCUUGGUCACAAGGGUAAGGGUAAGACUAGGAGGCAGUGACGACUCUGAUUGCGAACUUUGUAUCAUAUGGACUAUUGUGUCAUUCUGAACUAUUUGUGGAUUCUAUUGUGUCAUUUUGAACUUUGUAUAAGGACUUUCAUUCUGAACUAUUGUGGAUUCUAUUCUGAAUGUGUCAUAUGCUUGUGUCAUAUGCUUCUAUGUUUCUAUGCUUGUAUUUAUAUUCACUAUUCAUCUCGUAAUUUUGUAUGGAUUGCAUCAACAAGUAGGGGAAAUUCUGCCAAAAUUUCGCUAACAAUUACCAUUUUUAUUUUCUACGGAUAUUUCAGUAGACUACGACUUCGAAAUGCAUUACAUCGCAAAAUGAACAUAUGUCGUCUACAAAUUGCGUGUCCUUACUUAAAAUGCAUUAUUACAUGACAACAUAAUAAAAGUCUCACAGUAGAAAAUAUUGUUCAUAAAUAAACCAUAGAACUAGAACCUAAAUAUGGCUACUGAGUGCAACGAGGCCACUUUCCCUUCCUUAAGGCAUCGGGAUUCUCCUCAACCGCUGCUUUCGCUCGGCGUGCCCGCUCAAGCUUCUUCUCUCUCUCCUCCUUGUUUGCAGCAACCCGCCUCCUUUCCUCCUCUUCCUUGUGCUCCUUUUCCGCAGCCUCCUCUACGAGCCUCUUCUCGUACACCUCCUUCCUCUCUGCAUCCCAGCGCAUCAUAUACUCCAAAAACUCCUUGUCUUCAGGAUCGAUCUCAGUGUCGAUCCACUGCUCAAAAUCACAUAGCGGUGGAGGGGUCUACAACAAAUGCAAUUGUUAUAAAACAAAAAAAUUAUGGACAAUAAUUAUAAGACAACAACAUUUCCUUACCAACAUGUUAAUGCGGCGCUGACGAAGUGUAGGUUCAAACGCAAAGUUGGAACACAUCCAAUACCUCUGCCUAUACGUGGCAUGUUCUUCGGACUUGGCUACCUUGCAAGGAUCGCCGCAAAAGCACAUCGGCACUGGAACACCACUAGGCAGAGGCAAUGGAUCGAACGCAUUUCCGGUCUUCUUUGCGCCAUAACUACAAUUUUGUUUAUUUGGUUCUAUGAAUCAAACGCACUUAAGAAUAAACCUACAAUUAAGGUUUUUUCAUUUGAUCCACAACAAUGAGUAUAUAACAUAACUACGGGCGUUGAGAUUACCUUAGUUUCUUAGCUUUUCCACGCCUCGGCAUCCUACAUUUGCAUGAAAACCCUAAGUUCAAAAAUGCAAGAAAUAUAUAACGAAUCGAUGUGAAAAAAAGGUACGACAGAGAGAGGAUACCUUGCUCUUCAGGAUCCACGGAUCAAAUGAAAGUUUCCUAAGCUACAAUAUCGAUUCGUAGUCUAGGGCGAAGUAGGGAGAGUUUUUACCCGAGAGAGUGGAGAAUAAUGAGGAUGAACUCUCGGGCAGGAAGAAGGGGCGGUAUAUAUGGUAGGGGGCUUGGCGCCACGGAUCUUGGCGCCGAGGCUUGGCGCCACGGAUCUUGGCGCCGAGCCUCCGCGCCACGUGGAUCGGGCCGGCGCCACGUCGGAGGCGGGGCGUACGACCUUGGCGCCAGGACGGCUGGCGCCAAGACGUUAUACCUUGGCGCCAGCCAGCCUGGCGCCAAGCCGAGGGUCCAUUUCCGGAAAUGGUUUCGCCAGGGGCCUAUUUGUGAAAUUUUUUCGCAAAAAGGGCCAAAAUACAAAAAAGUCGGGGCCGUAUGUCGCCAAAAAAAACCAAACUAGGAAUAGCCGAGUACGAUGCGACUAUGCGAGUAUAGCAGCAGCCUCCAUACACUGUCCGACAUAAAAGCCCCUAGAUGGCUGAAUCCCGGCCAGAUCAGUGACUUGGUCAGGUACCGUAAGCACAACCAAAUCAAUGAGCUGAAGCAGUCGUCAACCCACCAGCAGCCUAGUUAGGGAUGUCAAUGGAUCGGGUCGGGUGCGGUGGAGCAAAACUCACCCAUAAUGAAACAUGUCAUAUCUAUCUACACCCAUAAUGUCUAACGGGUGAAUUUUUGCAUCCACAUCCGUACCCGCUGGGCACCCGUUGUGUGUUGGGCACCCCUGGGUCUGUUCAAAGAAAUAGAAAUUUGCAAAAUAUACGCACAUGAACAUACUAUAUUAAACGAUUUAAUACGAAUUUGAGACAAAUAUAAUUUGAGAAACACACCAAAGUAGAGAACCAAUCAUCUCAACAAAAAGUUAGUCUAGCAAUGGCGCAAAGCUAAAAUUUUAUCUAACAUUACAUGAUACAUCAAAAAUUCAAUGCAUUCAUAGGCCAUGAUAUGACAACAAUUGAACAUAAAAAAGUACAAAAUAUUAGUACUAGUUCAAUAUUUUGAUAAUGAUUAGGGAUCAAGACCUUAAGAGAAGGGUACCUGUUGGGCACCCAUGGGUGAAAUCUUGCACUCGUCUCAACCCAUCUCAACACGGGUCAGGUCGGAUUUGAACCUAUGGGUGAAAUUUUACACCCACGUCCGCACCUGUUGGGUGCCAAACCCGUGGGUACCCGCACCAUGGAUCCAAACUGCCAUCCCUCAGUCCAGUGGUGCCGGCCAAUGUUGGGGCAUCGAGGCAGAGGCAAGAGGAGGGAAUCAUGCAGCAACUAGGAGGCGAGCAGAGAUACUAAGCAGCAAGUGGUGUGGUUCAAAAAAUUUCAAAGCACAACAUUUUUUAGUUGCGAAGUGAUUACUUUAGCUGAAAUCCUACCGGAUCUUUAUUAGCUGAAUAUGCGUAUGUUAGAAAUAAAUUACUACUAUGAAAUAUCGCCUUUGAUACCAUAUUGCGGGCUUGUUUGCUGCAGUGUUUUCGAUCAGAGCUCAAAAUCUCCUUUCCUCGAGCGGAUAACAUCGACCUUAUCCUACCUGUCGGAUAGAAAAGCGAAAGCGCUGGUAUCUGAAUCUUUCGCCGCUUUGUUUGGCAUCUGUAUCCUGCAAAUGUCGCAACCUAUGCAGCUCCGCGCACUACUCCGACAGGUAAAGGCUUCAGCAAAUUAAAGCACCGCACGUCCGCGCCAAUAAUUGAAGACAAAAUACAAGCAGAGCUUCUAUUCGUUGUGGUUGUGGCAGCUUACAGUGUGCCACUGAACAAGCAGGUCGAGGAUGAGCCACUGACAGCACGGCACGCAAGGCAUGGGUGAUGGAUCACCCCACCCCAGAAAACGAAUCAGCUGUGGGAGCUUCUCAUGGCCUGCAAGUUGCAACCACCAUGAGUGAGCUUCGAUUCGUGCUCGCCUGACUGGUCGCUGUGUUGAAGUAUGCCCAAUAGCCAAGAGUGGAUCAGCCCAAAUGGCCCGUACGGAUGGCCCAUUAGCUGGUCUAUAAAUACUAAUCACCGGCCAAGGGAAUAAUGAACCCUAAUUACCCCAGCCACGUGAUUCCUGGCCGGCGCACCUUUUCAUCUUGCGGGUGGGGCGAGUGCUUGCCGUCACCUGCGACACGCUGGCCGGCCGGUGCGCUCACGCUUGCAUGUAUAGGAUAAAGGUGCGUAGCAUUCCACCGUUUCCUAACACGCUGGUUCUAUGGAUGCUUCCAAGGUGCUCAGCUCACUGUGGCCGAUGCGCGCCUCAUGUCGUUGCAGUGCCCACGUGUGCUUUGGGAAUAGAUUCCCUGAUCACUUAGUCCCUUGAUCGCGUUCACACCAGGGAAUAGCCAUCUACCUAUCCCGCGACCUAGUGCUAGUCAAUUUGUUCCAACACUUUUUUUUUCCUGAAAAAGAAAGGGAUAUGCACGCACGCACACACACAUAUGAGCCCAUGGCACCUUACUGAAAGACCAGCAUUCCCAAAUACCGAAGGGCUUCGCCUAUAAAUACUUCCUGUGCUUCCUCGUCCCUUUGGCAAGGGCACUCAGCCUCUCAACACAAGCGCAAACACAAACACAAACACAAACACAACCAAGAAGUCAGUAGUAAUGGAGUACUGCUACCAGUACAACAGCGUCAGCAGCAGCAACUUGGCGAAGGAGAAGAGGCCGGCGCCGAAGAGGGGGCACGUCAAGAUGCAGAUCGUGAGGACCAUCAGCAACAUCGUGGCGCCGAGCAGCGGUAACAACAGCUUCAGAAGGGAACGAAGCUACAACUGAAUACCCCUGUCUCUGUCGUCUGUAGAUGUACAUAUAUAUGCAUAUGGCGUGCCCCUUGUAUCUGAACUUUUCUCUUUGAGGGGUUUAAUUGAGGGGUUUUAGCUGGACAGAGUAGACUGCCGCUCAUCAGAGCUGAGUGCCUGUUUGCUCGGAAAAGAAGUUUCUAUGACGACAAGAUUACAAUAACAUGAACUGUGUGCAGCAUGUAUAGUUGUUUUUUUUUUGUAACGCAAACUGGUCAUGUAUAAAAUCAACUCAGUUUUCAAUUCUCUUUGCUAUAUGUUCAUCUAUUGAAAGUGAUGGCAAUUCUAUUGCACCUUGUGUACGUUGUUGCCCUCUCGGGAGCACUUUGAUGAGUACUAAAGCAUUCAAGGAGACCCAUAGACCAUUCUCGAGGAAGAAGAGAGACUCUUCUUUCGUUGGGUAUCUUUGACCAUUGAAAACUCAAUAAUCAAGCCCGUGGCUGGCGCGGCCUUGCCGGUGAACCGGGGCUCCUGCUUAUUUGAGAUGGUCUCAAAGAGUUUCGAUCCUUCUGCAAGUGCAUCUUUUUGGUGGGGAGAAAAGGCGCAGCUUUAUGCACCCGGAACUUUUUCCACAUCCACUAUCCGCAUGCAUAUCCGUUUAACAUUAUUGCAAAGGCAGAAACAUUCCACAGCGAGGGAGUUGCAGCUAUGUACACGUACGCGAGUGAGCGAUUUCUUUUGGUGCAUGAGUGUGAUGCAUGGGAAUGGGAUUAGAUGAUAGGCUUCCUUUUCCACACCUCACUGCACUACAAGUCUACAAGCUGCGGUGAAGAAGUAUUGUCGAGACACGUCGUGCCUCGUGACUGCAACGGUGAAAAUUAUGCAGCAAAGUGACUUCUUUUUUUCUGCUUCUUUCUACCUACUUCUACCUUUUUUCCAAUUACACUGCACGCAUGGGACUCAUGACUGCAACGGUGAAAAUUAAAGCAGCAAAGUGAAUAUUGUAGCACCGUGCAUGACAACGAUGUUGAUAUUUCGAGAACAAGCAAGCAUGACCACAGUAUAAACGAAACAAGUACUAGUGCGUGCUUUCGCCAACAGUGCGAUAGAAAGCUGCAUGCAUAACGAUUUUUGGUCUCCCUUUGAGCUUGCUAGCUAGUACUAGCUAGCUAGGGUUUUCACAGGGACAGCAAGGGCUGAUGCAAAUCUUUGCGCGUCUUUUCCGGGUUUGGUGUCAUAUGCUUUAUGUGUGUUUUGGGACAAAUGUGACGGGUGACUCCUUUUCCAGUUUGCCACUUUGCUCGAUCGAAAAUGUUUGUAGCAUUUGAUACAGUUAGCAGUGUAGCCAAGAUAUCGUAGGAUAGAAGUAGGGAUGACAACGGUCAAAAAUAAAAUCAGUAAUGCUUCAUGAAGAAAGUCCAAUGCGGAAAAUAAAAAUCGGAAGCCGCAGUUCACGGAACCAAGUCAGACUCUCCUACAUCCUUAUCCUCUGGUACUCCUUUCUUCUUCCACCACACAAGCUCUCUCUCUCUCUCUCUCUCUCUCUCUCUCUCUCUCUCUCUCUCUCUCUCUCUCUCUCUCUCUCUCUCUCUCUCUCUCGCACGCAAGCGUGCAACCACAUGAGCUCACGCUUAAACCCGGACGUCCGCACAUGGCACGCAGCGGCAGCGAGCUCACGGGAUGCCUCCGCAACCAUGCCCUCCGCGCGAUGGGCCCAGGGGCGCCUACCCCACGGGUUAUCCACCACGAGCACCCGCGUCACGAUGUCCCAAGCGCCUCGGCGAGCAGCCUGCCGGCGCGGUUGCAGCAGUCGAGCGCCUCCCGACGGCCACCUCCUCCGCCCUCUCUCUCUCUCCCCAAUGACCGAUUGGGGCGACCUCCGUGCGAGCAAAAUCAUCGACAAAAUCAUCGAUGACGAGUGCAGAGGCGCACGAGUUUGAGCAUUGGUAGGUAUGCAUGUUGCAUGUGUUUCUUGGAAUUGUUUCAACCAUAAUUUUCUCAUUUUGCAUGCGCUUUUCCGAUAUUGCAACAUAUUUGAACAUGUUGUUUUCGAUGUUUCAAUAAUUGAUUGUCAAUGUGACACCUAGUAAUUUGAGAUGUUGCAACAUUUUUCAUCUUUGAUUUGGCCCUUUUUUGGUGAAGAGAUGAUCUUGCACCUAAUCAGGGUAGCCUCUUCAAUCCGUUUUAGCUUGCUGGCACGCUAUCCUCCACCGACGCGCUGUUCUCCUAUGGAUCCGCUGCUUGGAUAGGUUGAGACGGAUGCAACCUUAGCGGUAAUGUUGCGUGCAACAAUAGCAAAUGUUGCAGCGGUAGUUUUUUCUUUUUUUUUGUAGCGUCCGACACUAGCAUCCGGAUCGAACGUCCGGGCGCUAGCAGCUCCGAAAUAAAAUCAUGAUGUAGAAAACGAAAGCAGGACGAUCAACAAAAAUAGUAAAAAUGAUAUUAAAAUUAGUUGAUAUGAUAACUUUUAUAUUUUGCUAAAAGUAAAAAAUAAUUAAAAACGAAAUUAUAAUGUAGAAAACAAAAGCUGUCGGUUCAGCAGCACCUAUCCCGACUAUUUUCAUCCUAGAUAGGACGACACAAAUAAAGUACGAAAAAUAUCAUCGGGAACAACACGCUUUGUGUGUCUCUUGCAGCCCGGCCCAAACUUGCGCACCCAGGCCUGCGGGCUGGGGAUCAUCCACCCCUUUGAAAUCUUUCGGCGGCCUUCGACCAUCGUUCACCCUAGGCGAGUAGGCGGUAUGCUCGAGCAGCGAAGCGGCACCCAGCAGCCACGCCUCAUCGACGCCGUCCAGGUCGCCGAUCGCCGGAACGGCCGGCGCCCUCCCUUGCGCUCCCACGAUCGCAAGCAAGCCAGGCAAUAACGAGCCAACAGCGCUUGACAUUAGCCAUCUCGGUAUGUACCUUCCCUUUUCUUCCUCCCAAAUUCCGCUCUCUCCCAGUUAUCGGUACUGAUUCUUUCAGGGGAAGCGAGUUAAGAUUCAAUUGGAUGAUUCCUUUUUUUUCAAUUUUAUUGAUACAAUGGUAUAUUUUAGCAGCUUGGAAUCUAACUCUGUACUACUUGCUACAGUACACGUAAUGCGUUAAAGUGGUGCGCCCGGCAGCAACAGAUUUGGAGUUCCACACAAGUUUUGUUCCUUUUUUUUUUGGCUGAGUGAUUUCUUGUUGCAGCUCAAAGAUUUGUAGUUACUUAUUUUUAGGGGAAAGUCCUUGAAAGAGUGCGCUUAAGCUGGUUCAUAGUUCACGUCGAAUUGGGUAACAAAUAGUUACACGUGGAAAACACGACUUUAGUCCCUGUUGGAUAGGGUCAUAGAUCCCGAAAAUCCAACCGGGACUAAAUUUUUGAGAUAAAGGGGGAUCCUUUAGUCUCGAGUCAUUCACCCGGGACUAAAAAUCCCCUUUAGUCCCGGUUGGUACCAAAAAGGUUAAAAAGUUAAAAAAAAAAGUGGGCCGGCGGCCUCCGCCCGCCUCCGCACACCUCAGCUCCGCCUCCGCCCACCGCUGCUCCGCCUCCACCUGCCCGCCCGCACCCCGCUGCGCCUGCUGCUGCUCGGCCGCCCGCUUGCCCUACCCUCGCCCCGCUGCCGCUCCUCACUGCUAGUGAGGGGCGAGCAGAGGGAGAAGGGGAGGGGCAGCGCGAGGAUAAGGGAGGAAGGAGAGGGAGGCGCGGUGGAGGGAGAAAGGAGGGGAGGGAGGUGUGGUGGAGGGAGAGAGCUCACGCGGUGGAGGGAGAGAGGAGGCGCUACAAGAGAAUAAGGGAGGGAGCAAGGGUGAGGAGAAGAUAAGGUGGAGAGAGAGGGAGCCGUGUGGGAUGGGAGCCUUCUGUCCUGGUUGGUGUUUCCAACCGAGACUAAAGGCCCCCUUUAAUCCCGGUUGGAAUUACCAACUGGGACUAAACUAAAUCUUUAAUCCCGGUUGGUAAUUCCAACUAGGACUAAAGGGGGGCCUUUAGUCCCGGUUGGUGUUUCCAACCGGGACAAAAUGUCCUCUCGUCCCACUAGCCGUUACAAUCGGGACUAAAGGUGGGGGAUUUAGUCCCGGUUGGUGUUCACAACCGGGACUAAAGUUCCUCCUGUUGGCGCCCUUCGGUGUCUUAUUUUUUAUCUGGGACUAAAGGCACUUUAGUCCCGGGUCCAAAGUCAAUCGAGAUAAAAGUACCUGGAUCGAAGGUCAAUUCUCUACUAGUGAGUAUGAUCCACGUCGCGUGCUUGACCACGUGUAUAGACUGCAAGGCGUGCUGAAUAUCAAGUGUCAAGGCUGCCUGAGCACCACAUGCACUGGUUACAAGUGUCUCUAAACAAAGCAACACAUGUCUUUAUUUAAUAGUCUUCUCUGAAUUUGAAGCAGUACUUUCCCUUUUUCUAUGCUUACGGCUGUGAGAGCCUUUGAUGUUCCCACACGCAGUUAUUGAAUGUACAUAUCUGUUACAUUGUUUUUACAUUAGCAAGUGUAAAUUCUUGACGAAAAGUUGGUGAAAAUAAAGCUCAAGAAAUCGUAAGUCUCACUUCCUGGUACUGAUCUUCAAACCUAGCUAUCAGGCGUUCGAUUUUAAAUUUAUUUAUAUGCCUUUCAACAUGUGUAAAUUUAAAUCAUAUUACGCGCUACUCUUAUAUGUAGCAAUGCUCUGAAGUUUGAGUCAACCAGUACGUGUAAGAGUUCCUUAAUUGUUGUCUUCAUGUCAUGCACAGCUUUAAUUUGUUUUGUAUUAAGGUACAUGGAGAAAAUAUUUUAUUCAUAAUUUUAUCUAUAAUUUAAUUGUAGCUGUCAAAUACUUUUGUCAACUUUGGGUUCUUUUAAAAAAAUAAUGAAAGAAAUUUCAUUUUAAAUCAUGAAUAUAAAAAUAAAUCUCAUUUGAAUUGUUAUUGUAUUUCAAACCUAUAGACCAUAAAAACAGUACAUAUGCCUAGUUUUUACUUGAUGUUGAAGUUUAUGUAGGAAAAAUUGAAAACUUUUGGACAGUUUGAAUAGCAAUGAAGUUAGCAGUAGAAGAUUAUGAUUCUAAGGACACCAGGAACAAUGGUGGUUCUGGACGUUGGCUUUAUUUGGCAGGAACUUCCCCUAAUUUCCUAGAUUUUAUAAAUGAUUAAAUAGCUUAUAGAAAGAUUGAUUAUAUGCAUUAAUGUGUACUUUCCCUUUACCUUCUAUGUUUAAUAGAAGGAAAAACAUUGAAGAAAAUAACUUUUUAUGAUUCAACGACAUCUAGGAUCCACCAGAUCGACCUCUUAGAAGUAAAACGAAGUACCUUAAAAUUUUCUUUUUGUUUUUUUCAGCCAGCACCGAUGCAAACAAUCCAUAAUCCAGUGGCAGCAGAACCUGUUCUCCACGGUGCUGAAUCUGCUGAUAGUAAAGACGAAGAUGGAUCAACUUCAGUUAAGUGUGAUCCAUGGAAUCCUGAACUUCCUCCUCCUGCUGCUGCCAUAUAUGAAGCAGAUGACUUGAAUGUCCAACUGAAAAUGAUUUUUGAGGUACGAUUACAAGCCACGCAUGCGCUAUUUGACUCCUUCAUUUCCUAGAAUCCCUUUUAUUUGCAUCGGUUUCUAACUGACACUUUAUUCAUCAGUAUGAAGCUCAAAAUGACAAGAUACUCUCUGAGUCCAGAUCUAGAAGCAUAAUUACCCCAAAGCGCACUCCUAAGGUUCCUAGCUCAUUUCGUUUAGUAUACUUUCAGUUAUGCUGCAUUUUUUCUGUAAAUAUCUUGUGACAGUACAAUUCAUUAGCUUAAUAUGUAUUCAGCAUGAUUUUAUUUGCUCUGACCUAUCAGCUCGAUAACUGACUGACUGUUACCGUUUCCGAAACAUGAAUGUAUAAAUCUAGUCUGUGCGUCUUGACUUCUGUGUGAUAUCACCCUGCUUGUCAACCAUCUUGAAGAAGGAUAGUGUCCGGAGCUUCCUCAAUCUCUUCGCCGGAAAUUGGCGACGCUUGGUAUGGGGCCGGGUCAUCACCCCGCACACCUUCAACUUCAUUGUGAGACACGAUGCCUUGCACUGUGCCAAGGUUGCCGUGGAAGGCAAGGCGCCAAAGCUCGGCGUGGGAACCGGGCCAACCCUAAUUACAUGAACAGCUUUGAGUCUUUCCCCCUUCACCAAGCAGCUAUGAUGUUUUCUCUUGACAUGAUCAACUUGCUUAUAGACUACGGGGCAUCAGCCAAUGUACACAUUGAGGGGAAUAAAGUCAUUGAGGGUCUUCUUCCACUUCAUGUUGCCGUUGAGGAUGCUUGCAUGCAUAAGUAUCUUGAGGUAAUGCUCCUUGCAGCCCAAAAACAGUUGUGUAACCUGAAUGGGUUUGAUAUUAUCAAGUUGCGCAUUUUUGAUUCCACAGUUUCCCUAGAACUACAAGGAUCCGGAUUGGAGAGGGGUAAGAAUCGCAAGGCACAUAAGCUGUUGAAGGAGAAGAAGUACCUUUUCCAAUGUGUCUGUACUUGUUUUUAUAAUUCUGCGAGCUAGUGAAGCUCUUGAUGCAUACGUGCAAACACAUUCAGAGGUGCAUUGCUUUCCCUGAUCUCUUCCUUGUGCCAAAUAUUAUAGUAUACACUAAAAAUGGAAGUAAUUCAUGAAUCACGAGGCUCAGUUGUUGUAGGUGCCCCAUCACGAGGUACUAGAAUAUGUUUCAUCAGUUCUCAAGGAUUAUGGUUUCUCCCCUACUGGAAAAGGCAUUGAUGUUGGAUAUCUUUACUGGUUUGUCUAUCUAUCUGCAUUCUCUUUCAUUCAUUGCCAUUCCAUAUACACAUUUACACAAUGAUCUUAUACUUUUCCCCCAAUUGUUCUUGAAGCCACCCUUAUGAUUGCGGUGAGUCAGAGGAUACAAUACAAAGGAUGUGGUUUCUAUUUGUGCUUUCUCCAUUUUUUUUUUUGCCAAAUCUAACAAAUAAUAACACAUGUUCUAUGACGGAGAACAGGGAACCUGGAUACAACCCAAACAGCUAUGGAAUCAUCUAAUCUGAAGGUAUAGUAUCUCCAAUCCAAGGCCUGUGUCUUUUCUAUUUUUUGGGGAAUAUUAUAACCUGUUUAAUUUCAAUAUUUUUUAUUCCAUUUACUUGUGGGGGUAGAAAGGUUUGUUUAGUUCAUCUGGCUAACUUUAGACCAAAUACCAUGCCCUGCAUAUGCCAUGUUUUUGUUGGGAAGUGAAAUUAACUAUGGCCCCAAGUACCAUCCUUAUUUUCUCGUUUAUUUUGCAUAUGUUAAGAACUUUAGUCGUUACCAGUUAUCUACUGCGAAAUAUAAUUCUAGAAUUGUUUACUGCAGCCUUUUCAAAGUUCUUUGGUGGCUUGAUAUGGCAUGUUUAUCAUUUAGUUAUAGAAAAUUUCAUGUGCAGGAGUACUUUAUAGAACACAUAUGCACAAAUUCAAGUAGUUUCUUGAAUCUUAUCGUGAUUCAUAUACAUAUACUAUUGCAAUUGACUUUGUGGAAUUUUCUCUGUUAGCUGGGAAAUAUAUCAAUGAGGGAUUGAAAAUCAACGCUUAGUACUGUAAUAAUGUAAUUAAUAUAUAUAUCUCGAUCUAGUACCAGCUGUCGUUCUUGGAUUUCUGACACUGAGAUGUUUGGUUGAUCCAACAACUAACCAGGCUGUGGGAAAGCAAGCACCCCAAAGACAAGAUUACAGGAUGUUCAUUCCCUACUGGAGAUCAAUGUUGCAAUCUCGUUUGCCCGUUAGGAUGAUUCUGGCUCAUGCAUUGAAGUCACAGCACAAGCCAGGCACUCGACGGUUUCAUACCGCUGCUGGUAGUUCAGGAAACAUGUCAAAGGAUGGGAGAUCUCUGUUUCUGAACUGCAGCCUUCGAUUGAUGGGAAGGGCUCCACAGCUGCGAAUUCAUCAGUCGAGGAGGAUGUAUACCACUGCUGCGCUUUUUUUUUAAGAAGAACUCAUCCUGCUUUUAUAGAAAGCCAUAAAGGUUUGUUACAGAGCGUUUGCUGGGAAUACCAGCUUACAAGAGAGAACUUCAGAAAAGCCUAGCAACAUACUAAGCUGAAUAAUCUGCAGACAUAUGCUAAAAGAUUACACCAUCGGAGUCUAUCGUAGAAGGUAACAGCAGCUCAAAUGAAGUCCUCCAUCGGGUCUUGAUUGCGUUCCUCUGCUAGGAAUCCUUUCACCCAGGUCACCACUUGGUUGUUUAGCCAUUCCAGGCAGCCUUUGUCAGACUCCUGCAGCAAUAUUUUCCACCUCUGCAAGUAAGAUGAGAUAGCAAAAAUGACAUCACAGGGUGAAUUUGAGAAUUUGCGUUCAAUUCUCAGCUUGUUUCGUUGAUUCUAUAACACCCACAAGAUUAUUGCAAACGAAAAAAAACAUAUCAUAAUUAGCUCCUCCCAAAACUAGCCACCACCUUAGAAACUCCUGCAGGCCGCAUGGAGUGUUCUCCCAGCUGAGGGCUUCCUUGAAACACACUCAAACAAAUUUAGCUAAGAUGCAUUGAAAGAAAAUAUGAUCAGAAGUUUCUAGCAUCCCACAUAAUGGGCAUCUGGCAUCUCCUUUCCAUCCUUUUCUCUUCAACGCCACACUAGACGGUAAUCUGCUAUGGAACAGAGACCAUAGGAACACCCUUAGUUUCAUCGGCAGUUUGCUUUUCCACAGUCUGAUCGCACAUCUGUCCUGCACACCCCUAAAAGUUAGAAAUCUGUACAUAGACUUGGUUGUGUACUGUCCCUUGUUCUCAAGACUCCAGACCACCUUGUCCCUUUGGCCAUUCAGGUAAGCCCUUGUUUACUUCCCUCCAAACUCCCAACUUUGACACUAUGCAAAAAGAAGAUUCCCCAUCACAUCAAACUUGCGGUACAUGCAUGGAGUACUAAAUGUAGACGAAAUCAAAAACUAAUUGCACAGUUUUGUUGUACUUUGCGAGACGAAUCUUUUGAGCCUAAUUAGUCAAUAUUUGGAUAAUAAUUCACAUAUACAAACGAAACGCUACAGUGUCGCAUUUAUGGCAAAAUGCCAAUUUUGCAACUCCCAACUUGAGAAGUAAACAAGACCUAAAUAGGGUCAAGCUAGUGAAUCCCAUUCUCGAACUUCGUUGGGACCAAAUGGUCACCUGAAGUCCUCGCCAGCUAAAAAAAACACUUGCUGACCAGGACCUCUUGGUCCAUAUAGCCCGAGGAAUUCUAGUUUAAGGGGAACAUUAUCUACCUAAGUAUCUAUCUAAAACCUCACAGAUUUCCCAUUGUUAACUUGGAAGGUAGCUCCAAAGAAGAACUUAUCGUUGACUUUAUGUAGCCCUUUCCAGAACUGAGACCCCCUGCCCCCUUGCUAUGGAUAAAAGUAGUGUUUCUAAGGUAUUUCGCUUUUAGGAAGGAGCAACACAUGUCCCCCUCCUCUGAAUUGUAUAUUCUUCAUACCUAUUUGAGGAGCAACGCUUCAUUUAGGAUUCUAGUGUUCAUUAUGCCCAGCCCACCAUAGUCCUUAGGGAUGCACAAUUUUUCUCAUUUAACCAUGUGGUAUUUGAAUUUAUCCUCAGCCCCCCUCCAGAAAAAAUCUUGAUCUGAUUGUGUCCAUCUGUUGGUGCGUCCCCUCAUGGAGCAUGAACAUUCCCAUAAGAUAGAUAGGCAUGCUACUAAGGGAGGAGUUUGUGAGAUUGAGUCUCCCACCAGAUGUCAGGUUCUUCCCCUUCCAAGGUUGUAGCUUAUUUCUCAUUUUGCCCACCAUUCCCCCAAAGGCCUGCAGACCUACAUUCUUAUCACUCAUAGGAAUGCUUAGGUAAGACAUUGGAUCCCCCCCCCCCCACACACACUAUGCAAUUUAGUGUAUCUGCAAUUCUGGAUUGUUCCUCUUCCGAGACACCGAAGGUCAGAACCUCGCUCUUGUGGUAGUUGAUUUUAAAGUACAACAGGAAUUUCAUGUUGAUUAUAGUCUUGUCAUCGCAAUCCAUCAUAAUGGCCGUAUCAUCUGCGUACUGAAUAUGAGUGAGCCUCCUGGGAACUAGGUUGGGAACCACCACUCUAAUGUGACCUUUCUAUUUAGCUUUGUUCAGGAUGUGGUCUAAGGCAUCUACAGCUAGGUUAAAAAGCAAAGGUGACAGCGGGUCCCCCUGCCGCAACCUCCUGUGUGUCUUAAAGUAUGGCACAUUUUCGUCAUUGGUGUUAACACAUACUUUCCUGCCUGGAUUGUGCUUAUGAUCCAUUGGAUGACGAGAGGAUCAAAGCCUUUCCUCUUUAGAACCUGUUCUACAAAAACCCAACUUACGCUAUCAUAAGCCUUCUCGAAGUCGAUCAUCAUUAUCACCCCCUUUUGUUUCUUCUGUCUCAGCUCAUGCAUGGUCUCAAGUAAGAGGACCGUACUGUCUAAGAUGUAUCUCCCAUUGAUGAAUGCUGACUGGCACUUUCCUACCACCUUGUCUGCUAGUUUGGAUAAUCUUGACAUUAUCAGUCGUGUGAAGAUUUUGAAGCUGACAUUGAGGAGACAAAUGGGCUUGUACUGCUUGACAUUGUUAGCAUUCCCUCCUUUCAGCACCAACGUGAUAACCCCGUAAUUCAGUCUUGUCAUGUCUAAUUCCCCCCUUAGAAGUCAUUUAUCAUUUCCAUUAGUUCCCCUUUGGUUAGAUUCUAGAAAUUUUUGUAGAAUGACACCCCAAAACAUAUGGUCUAGGAGCUGAGUCUUCCUUCAUUUCAAAUACCACCUUGUUCACUUCUUCUUAAGAAAAAAGCUUGGUUAGGGCCUCAUUAUCCUGUUGAUCCAGCCUUCAUUCCGUCACCCAGGCUUCUUCACUCAAGGUUACCCUUCCUUCUUCUCUUCUCCCAAAGAGCCCCUUGUAGUAGUCAUAGAUGAUUUUUCUAAAUUUGUUGUUGGUCCAUGACGUUCUCCCCAUUAUGUUCUAGAGACAGGAUAGUUUUUUUUUCUCCUCCUCCCAUUUGCAGUAAGAUGGAAGAAGGUUGUGUUGUUAUCUCCUUCUAGGAUCCAUUUCUCUCCCCCUCUCUUCUGUCAUAAUAUCUUCCAGCUCCACCUCCAAUCGGACCCUUUCCUCCAGUUGUCCAACGGUUGCCACCCUAGAGUCAUUAUUGUCAAUCUGUUUGAUUCUUCCUAGAAGUUCCUCCUUCCUCCUUCCUCCUUCUGUAUGCACCCCUCGUAUUAGCCCCCCAUCCUUUGAGAAAUUGCCGAAGGGGAGAGAUCUGUCCAUGCCAGAUAUCAAGUGAGUAGGCUUCAUCUGGGCAUCUUUCCCUUCCUGCCAGCCACUUUUCUUCCACUAGUGAUUUGAAAUCGUUCUGUUUCACCCAUUGUUUGUCAUAGAAGAAUUGUUUGCAUUUACGCCCUAGGUCUUGCUUCUCCCCCUUAUUAAGCAAGAGCGGGCAGUGAUCUGAACACACUCAGGUUAGACUUGUUAGAGAUGAAAGCGGAAAGUUUUGUUCCCAAUCAGUUGUCAUCAGAACUCGAUCUAUGUUACUCAUCACUGGGUUGGUCUGUUGUUCGUCCAUGUGAAUCUCGCCUCCUUAUAUUCCAGAUAAGUAUCUUCAUUUGUAACUAAUUCUUUUGAGCUCUCUGCUCAGCUUAUCGCCCUCCUAGUAGUUUUAGUGACUUUCUUGUUUACAGAGAAACCUGAUGUACCACUGCUGCGCUUUCACUGCUGAAAAUGUAGAAGCGCGCAUAAGUAGAAAGGUAUGCCGGGUAUGUUCUUUCUUAUUCUCGAUCUUGUGACUCUUAGCAAAACGUCCUUGUAUUUAUCAUGUUUCGGUUUUGCAGGUACUUGCAACUUUCAGUGGUGAUCUGGCAUGCAUGGUUUAUCAGCGUUGGAUGGGCUUUUGAGCUUUUUGGUCGGGCUGUAGUGAGUUAAGUGACAGCACGCAAGGACGAUGCAAAUCCGUAUGCAUUUUUCAAUUGUAUACGCGUCUGAUAGGUGUUCUUUUGAUGGAUAUUUAGAAAUUAAAGGAGUGUACUGCUACACAUCCACUGAUUGCUACCGUGGCUGUCUGACCAAAGAACAUCACGCCCACCACAACUCACAACUGUGUCGUGCGUUGUUGCCGCGAGCGCACCUCUGAGUUGUCAGUUGUUGCUGCUGCUUUGUUGUGUUUUUGUUUUUCUCCUCCUAAUAAAAAUUUGACAACUUUCUUUCGGAAAAGAAACUGUGUCGUGCGUGCACUACCGAUCAUGCAUACUUGGUAAAAUUGGAAGGCCAGCAUCGUGAUAGCACACAGCUGAAAACAUCACGUGUUUGUGCCAGGAAGGGCUAAAAUCAAAAUCUUCAUUUAUUUCUAUAGUAGAAAAUCGUGUACACUAGUAAUGUUAAUCAAGCGUAUCUUUGGUUGGGGGUAGUUUUCCAUGUUCUCGUGCUGGUUUGUGGGUAAAUUGGCUUCCAAGGACAUCGCGUAACAAUAGAGAAGAGGUUUGUUAACAAUCCAUCUGAAGUCCCAGCAGCAGCAUGGCGUGGUGCUCUUCCUUCGGCAGAACCGCAGGAGCUCGAAGCUCCGGCAGCCUGGUGCUUGGGGUGCUCCCAUCACCGGAGCACUUGGAUCCGUUGGAUGCAAAGAUCAUGGUACAUGUGUAACAUGACCUGGACUGCCCUCAAUUUCGCUCAAUUUCCGAAAAGUGCAAGAGCGAAGAUGCAAAAGAGCAAUAGAUGCAAAGCUCCUCCAUGAUCUUGAUCUUACAUCCGACGGAUGCAAGUGCUCCGGUGAAUGGGAGCCUUUCGGUAUCGUUUUCGCCGCUGCCCUCUCUCCACCGCUUUGGCCUGCUAUUUAUAGACCGAGCGGCAGGGCAGGGCAGUUACGUUCAUCUACGGUGAUCUCGCGCUCUCUCAUUUGAAUUUUGUAUUCGUUCGGCGCUGGCGCCGCGUCAGAAACGCGGUGGAGUCCAUGGGCGACGCCGUGUGGACUAGUCCUCGACCUCUUUUCUUUAUUUUGUUCAAAAUCCAAUCACUAGUUCCUCAAUGUUUCAAGCGAUGCUAGCUGGUGCCGUAAGCCCGUAACUACCUACUGCUACGCAUGACACACCUUUAAUUUUGUUUUAUUAAUUCGGACGGUGCUCUGCGCAGGGAGUUUCCGCUGCCUGGCAUGUGGGUCACAUCUUGGCGAUUAAGCUAAUGUUUAGUAAUUAUCUGCCGGGCGCCGGGCGCCAUGAACGAUCCUGCUGUCUUGGUACAUACACCUCUAUCCGUACAUAUAUACUUUGAUGUAUAUUAUUAAAUUUCACAGCUAAUACCAAAUUAUAUCGGUUUUCUUCAUUAUGGAGCAAUUAUUUUCCCUUAUGAAUUGAUUUCUUCGAAUGGGAUUUAGCCAUCAACUAAUUUUACAUUUUGGGACAGGUCAAAUAAAAUUGGUGUCAGCAUGUAGAAUUGUAGAUUUGCCUUGUUAAAAAAAUCGAAUCCGAGAUUACGCUAUCACGACAUUCCAAACACACAGCAUGCGACGUUUUAAAUCUACUACACACAAAUCACCGUGACCAAAAAAGAAAGAAUAACGGAUGUUGAAACAUUCCAAAAUUGCCGUUGGAACAAGGAAAAAGUACAUGGUGAAACCGUGUAAGGUGUAACCCAACAUAGAAUACAGCUCGAUCCCAACAUGAAAUCCAUUCCAAAAUUAAUAUUGCAAAAUGGAAAUAGAUAUACAGCGCCAACGUACAGUCGAGGCCGCUUCCAUAAUAUGUAGCAACUGCAUCAUAUCGAGCAUGAACAUGCAAAGAGUACGUAGCAUGCAAGAGUACGAACGCGCGCGCCACAGGCAUCACGAGCCGACGUACGCGGUACGCCACCUGUCGUCCUCCCCGCGCGAACUCAAGCUCCAAUCGCAUCUGAACCAUCCGCUUGCUGCACUGCAUCCUGGUCGUUCAGAAGGAAAACCCAGCUGUGAGAAGCGUGCACGGUGACCUAGCUAGACGGCGACAUUCACGGCGUUGACGCUCUUGCUCCGUCCGCACCAUGUGGGACCGUGGGACACGAAGGUGGGGGCCGCGUUCACGUACGUAGAGCACAUCACGCGAUUCACGCUGGGGUCGUUGUUACGUUGCAGCGGCGACUCGCGUGCCGCCACCUCAGCUUCCCGCCGCGGUCAUUGGAGGAGGAAGGUACCGGUAGUCAGUAGAGUUUUAUUUAGGCGCUUUAGUAGUAAAAAGGACUUCUCCACCGAAUUUUUUUUAAACGGGCAACUUUAAAACGGUUCUACCAACGAAAUCGGGGAGAAAUCAUAAAACAGCUUACAAUAAGAGAAGGAGAAAAAAAAGUGGCUUCAUCGGUUUUUCCUCCCUCUCCAAGUAUUAAUUGACCAUAAAAUUACUCAUAUUACCAUUAAGAAACCGUUUUACUAAAUAUUUUUCAAAACAACUUCAACUUCACUAGAAAAAUCACUCCACUAAAGAAGUUGGAGUCACUUUGACAAGAGGUGGAACUCUAUCAAACGGGAUCUUAUUUAUUCUCUUUUCUUUCCUGUGAAGGACCGAAAGAAGGAGCGAUGCCGUAUCCGUUAGACGACGAGAAUUGGGCGGACCGCGGACUCGAUGCACGUCGCCGUUUUGACGUCCACCUGGGAACGACAAUGGCACGGAGGUCUCUGUUUACAGGCCAACCGACAUCCGAAGCAAGCCGAUCCGCAGCCUGCUCUCGCGCGCCUAUUUAAGAAGCCAAGACCGAACUCACCGGCAACUCGUCAACUCGAUCCGUCGCUCGUCGCUCAUCAUCGCGUUCUCAGAAAUAAUCCAAAUCCGUUAGCAACCAAGCUCACUAUUCGAUGGACAAGGCAGAAGCAAGACAGCUCCCCCUCCCCGGUUACUCCUAUGCCAUGGCCACCGUGGCUUGCCAGCAGGCGAAGAAGGCUCCGGCGGAGCGCAAGGGGCCUGCCGCCGCCGGGGCCAGCUGCAACAAGGUGCCUAUGGGAGCCCUCCAGCCGCCUCCUUGGAGACGGAGGGGGCAGAUCAAGAAGAAGAUCGUCAAGGACAUCGUCGCCUCGGUGGCUAGCUUUUGUUCGUCCGACGACCGUGGUCGCGGUUGAGGCUACUAGGCAGGCAUGGCCCGUGCUAUCAUCUAUCCCAAAUUAAAUUUGCUUUGUUUAUGUACAAGGUCCGCAGGUGGCUCGUGUGUGCUCAUGUAGUGUUGUUGUCGAUUGCAGGCAGUGUUGUUGUUUGAUUCUACUGUGUAUGUGUUUGUUUUUUGGAAAGCAGAUUCUAUAUAUGUACUUGCUGUGUAUAAAUCAUAACUGUUAGAGUACAUGGAUGCAUAUAUAUGUAUGUGUGCAUGGUUCUGUCACAUCCGAUUGUUCGUGUCACGAGCUCACGCACGUACGCAUCAACUAGAAGCAUGCGCUUGCGGAAGCCCGUGCGUGCACGAGGAAGGUAGUGGCAGCUGGUCUUCUCCAAUCAAGUAUGGGCCUCGCCCGCAGCCAUGGCGGGCGGCACCGGGGCCAGCAUGUAGUAGAUUCGUCAGCGCGGCUCGUUCCGGCGCGCGCACCGGCCUUCGCGGCCAUAUGAUAUGACUAUACAUACGCGGGGUUAGGUUAGUGCGCGGUAUAGCAGGCAGGGGCCGAGCUCGGGCGGCCAGGCCGCCGCGGACCUCCUCGACUGCCGUAUGCCAGCAGGGCCAUUCGCCUGGGUGACGAGCUACUGCGGCUACGGCUGGCUGCGCGAGAGCUGCAUGGCGGUGGCUUCGAGCCUUCGGCUGGAUGCCGCAUGAGCACACGCAAGCGCGGCAGCAAUUUGGCUCAACCCGGCGCGUGUACGUGCACGCCGACGUCCACCACCGAAUCGGCCACGUCCUCGUCAAUACCUAUAUUCUAAAGGUCCUCGAAUCGGCGCGGCUGAGAAACGCCCUUCUAUCCUGACAUAUAUCUCGUUCAUUUUUUGACUCAAAAUUAAAAAGAACUUUAGUCUCGGAUCAAAUUUCCACCAUCGAUGAUCACCUCCAACAGGCCCUUUAGCCUCAGUUAGUAAUAUCAAUCGGAAUUAAAGGGGAUUCUUUAGUUCCGGUUGUAACGACUAGUAAAGCUUUACUAGAAGCAUAGAGGGAAUCUGGUAGGACGUGCGAAACACAGCACUAUUCUUUGUUCACCCAAAUAAAUAUUUUCUAACAUAUAUUAUCAUCAUUUAGUGUCCUUCCGUGUAUACAAUGUACUACCUGCUGAGCAUAGAAAAAAGACUAAAUUCUGGUCAGUAAUUCACAACCAAACAAUCAGCAUUUUUAAAGAAAUUUAAACAUAGCCUAUCCUGAUAGGUGAGUCCCAUGAGACCACUGCGGUAUAUGCAACCUAACUAGUUCCGUCUAUUGAACGUCCCCACGGACCUCACCGUCGACCAGCUCCGGCCGGAUAACAAACUAACGCCCUACUCACCGCCACGUGUGCGCAGCAGGCUUGCGAGACGGCAGCACGCACACCGACAAGGGACCUCCUACGUGGAUGUACGAUGCCGUUAUUAGAGCAUGGCUAAUAAUUUAGCCGGAUGCUGUUACCAUGGUGGUAGCAGGUUCUGCACAAAAGGUCUGUAUGGAGCAGCAGUGAGCUGAUAAUAUAUUAAUAUAGCCCUUUCAUAUAAUGGGUAAGCUGCUAUGGCUAUUAAAAUGAUUGGAUCGAAGAUUUAGAUAAUUAGGGGAUGUUUGGUUCCUUUGCUUAUUUUUAACACGUAUCACAUCGAAUAUUUAGAUAUUAAUUAGGAGUAUUAAAUGUAGACUAUUUACAAAACUCAUUACACAGACGGAAGCUAAACGACGAGACAAAUCUAUUAAGCCUAAUUAAUCCAUCAUUAGCAAAUGUUUACUGUAGCAAUACAUUGUCAAAUCAUGGAUUAAUUAGGCUUAAUAGAUUCGUCUCGCCAUUUAGCCUCCACUUAUGUAAUGAUUUUGUAAAUAGUUUACAUUUAAUACUCCUAAUUAGUAUCUAAACAUUCCAUACGAUAGGUGCUAAAAAUAAGCCAGAGUAAGCAAACCAGACCUUAAAUGUCUAUUCAUUGGAGGGCUAAAGGCGUACGUUUUCUUCUCGGUUCCUGUGUUGCAGCUGGGCGCCCGCUCCAUCCUCCCUCUCCAAUUCUCUCUCCUCCACCUCACAUUCUGUUGACGUGGAGAGCAUUUCAUCGGCUAAGCAAACAUUACUACACUUCUCUUGCUCCUUCCGUCACGAAAAAAUGUAUUUUCUAGUUAUAUAUCUAGACAAGUGUUUGUCCAGAUACAUGACCACAAAUGCAGUCAUUUUGAGAUGCUAGGUACGUGCAUACGCGAGGCAGAGCCUGUCGGGUGUCAGUAAUUAGAGGCCGAAAGGGGCUACUGACUAUUUUGGAGGACUGAUAGGUCCCAUGCCUUGACAAAUAUUAUUUGCCAUAAUUUAAUCUUUCAAAAUAAGCCAAACGUGUGCAAACAUGUUGGCUAAAAUGUGGAAGUACGUUUUCAUUUUUGCAUACAUGGUCAUUGGUUGUUGCUAUAUAAUUAAUGUUAUCCAAUUUAAAAAAAAAUUGGUUGAACAUUCUCUCAACAUACAAAGGCGGUAGUGUCUUGAGAAAACACUUCUUUUUUAAAAAAUUGAAUAGCAUUAGUUAUAUGGCACCAACUGAUGACUAUGCAUGUAAAAUGGAAUAUACAUUGUAGACAACAUGAUUGUUAAGUUUGUGAACUUCGGAGCGUGUUUAUUAUUUCUUUUAGAAAUGUUAACAGAGGGCAGAUGAUCUGGAUUUUCCAACACUUAAGCAUCACUACCGGAAACAGUAAAUUCCCCGAGUGUAAAACUUUUGCCGAGUGCUUUCUUUCGGGCACUCGACAAACAUCCUUUUUGCCGAGUGUAUUCAACGGGGCACUCGGCAAACAUAUUACACUCGGCAAUAAGGUCGUUUGCCGAGUGCCAUAAAUACGACACUCGGCAAACUGCUCAGUGACACUCGGCAAAAGUCCGACACUCGGUAAAUCAACGGCACGUGCAUCGCACGUGGACCGUCCGUCACCGGACUGGGCCGGCCGUUAGUCCUUUGCCGAGUGUUGGACGCCGACACUCGGCAAAGAGGCCGUUCGCCGAGUGCCACCCGCCCACACUCGGCAAAUCAAGAAGGUCGCCGAGUGCCAAGACACUCGGCAAAUCAAGAGUGUUGUAAUCCAAGACUGUUUGCCGAGGGAAACUUUGCCGAGUAGAGUUUGCCGAGUGUUACACUCGGCAAACCCUUUGCCGAGUGUAUUUGGACCUUCGCCGAGUGCCUGGGGCACUCGGCAAAGUUACUGUUUCCGGUAGUGCAUGUUGAGAAAAAACACUUUGAAUAACAUGUUUGCAGAGUUUCGUGAAUUUUGAAUUACAAUUGUUGUUCGUUUGGAGGGUUGGAGAUUAGGGCAGACAAUUUGGUUUAAUUUCAGGACUAAUGAAAAGAAAAAAACAUCCGAAUCAGUUCCAUGAAAACAUCCAUGGCAUAGUUAACACUUGAAGUUUAGGACCAUAAUAAUUAGAGUUCAUGAACAAAUACACAGCAGGAAGAGAUUGGCAAAACGUAGAACUAUCUAGUCACUUCUUUGAGAUCGCGACCAGUUCAGACUCGCAAAGCUCUAGUAACUUGGGAUGUGCUCAAGUGCUAUCAUUAAUUGUUCCACAUAUCUCUAGUACUGGGAAACUACUCGACAAGGGCACCAUAAAUCUGUGAAAUCUCAUUCGACACGAUCAUAUAGCAAAGUGAUAGCACCGAUGCAUAGAAUACAUACUGAUUGAAUCAUACUUUCUACGAUAAAAGCGCCUACGAUAAUCAGGAUGACACAAAAUUAAAGGAAUCAUAAACCAAUGUAUUUGCAAGAUAUUCUUUAGUUUUCUAACACCGAGGCUCCGCAUGCAGGAAGAAUUUGCACAAGUUUGCUGGCCACACAAAAGGACUUUAUUGUCGUUUUAGAACAGUCCUUAAGAAAAUGAACUUAGUUUGAUGUAUAGCACGAUAGCAACUAUACUAAUUAACGGAUUCAUGGAUGUGACCCAAGGGUGAAACUGAAAGCUAGCCAUGAGGGCCAUUGAGGUCAUCACCAUUAUACGAUGGGUCAAUAAAAUGGGCGAACAGAUUUUAUUUUUUUCAAAAAGAUUCACCAAAUUUACUUGGGUUAAUUGACUAUUGAAUAAGAGCAAUGUAUACUUAGAAAGUUAAGAAUUUUGAAAUGGCAAGACACUAGAGUUGCCAUGCUUCAUGAUAAGUUGGGAAAAUUUUAGAAUUAGAUAUUUUGCACGGUAGGACUUUCUAGAAAAUAGAUAAGGAUGAGGACAACUCUAUAAUUGUAGAAGAGUGUAGAAGGUGGACACAUGACAACACCAUAUGAGCCAGUGGCAAUUCUUUUGAGUAAUAAUAUAUUUAGAAAUCCCCAUCAGUUCCUUGCUGGUACCCUUCGAAAAAUAAUUAUUAUAUUCUUUUGAGUACUAUAUUUAGAAAUCCCUAUCAAUUCCUUAUUGGUACCCUUUUUGAACACAAUUAAUACAUUCCAAAAUAACUUGGAUUCUAACAUCUUUGCCCUUAGCAUGAACCUCCUUUCCUUUUUGGAUCGACUUAACUUAAUUCCAGUAUCUAUUCUAAUAUUCUUUUAUUCUUCUAUUUUCGAUCCAACUAAGAAAAAUAAAAUACAUAGCAGUUCCUAACUAAAAAUGUGAUUUCUAAAGAUUUCCAAUAUACAGGGGAGCACCCUGCCUCGUCGCCAUCCAAGUAGAAGUCAUGCCAAGUAUGAGUUUGGAGAUGGCAUAGGAUAUGCACUAUAGAGAGUUCGAGUGACAUGUCAUUGAAUGACAUGAGUAGAGUAUGCUAGAGUAGCUAUAUAAAAAGUUAAAGAGUUUUGUGUUAUAAUAGGUUAUAGUGAAUAAAGUGAAGCAUAUAGGUGUCAUCUAUAGGUGUCAUCUAUAGGUGUCAUCUAGGCCUUUCGCACCUUUGUUAAGGGUGUAGUUUUGGUGAUAAAUGACAACCAUUUACUUAUGACUAACCCGUUUGUUUUGAAGCAAAUCACUAUUGGAUAUUAUGUCAUGAGUUAAAUGGAAAGUGGCCCCUCAAUUUGAAUUAUCAAGUGGGCAAGGAGCUAUUGCGACAACGACCCCUUGUUGAACUUGUGGAAUGCUUCGGCAUCCGGUGGCCCAGCAUAGCUCGUGACACUAAUCUUUUGCAUCAUCACUUUAAUUUUGUGCCUGUACCGCAUGCUUGGAUGUUCGCUUCUUGUUACCGGAGUCGCCGAGUCAACACAUCCCACCUUGGCCCUUCGUGCCAGCAGCCUGAUGGUCAGGGUCGUCGGCGACCUCUUCCUCGCUAUAGAUUGAGCCUGCAAAUAAUUAUAAAAGAAUGAAAUAAUUAGUAACCUAAAAAUCAAUCUACAUUCCUUGUUGCUCUCCAACACAAUCUGCAUGCCUUCCAAACCAUUGGGCUCUUAAUUUAUUAGUCAUAUAUAGCAUCCACUAAUUUAUUUGUGAUAUAACACACUCCGAUGCCUCACCCUGAACUAGAAACAGCAAAUUAAUUAAUUCCACUUACAUUGAUAUAUAUUCGUAGCUUGGGUGGAUAUCUACAAGAGUUUGGUAUCUUCGUGUCCUCACUCUUUACAUUUCCGCUCUUAUUUUGAGCAUUUAAUUCCUGUAAUUUACUUGUCUUAUUUGCUCUUGAUCAAGUUGUGCUUUGCUUUACUUUGUUUUGCUUGUAUCUUGGCUAGUGUGCUUAGUUUCUAGGUUUGAACCUUGUCAAUUGGGAAAACAUAAAGUGUCGAGUUCCAUAUAAUGUUGGUCUCUUGUGUUGGUGUCAAUUGAAGAUCUCCUUGGAGUAGUGUGGGUACAGAGUUCAGGAAAGAAAGUGAUAUCAAACUAGGUACUAAUGACUCAAGCUACCUAAACCCUUGAUGCAACCCUAUAUAUUUUUGACAGGGAACGAUUUAAUACAACACUAAACAGUAGUAUGACACUAUCGCUAUAAUUGGGUCAUGUUGACUAUGUAGCUAAGUUAGUAGGUGUCGGGACCCUGGGUAUGCAAAUACCCAAGUUCCAGUUGUGCUCACUGUACUCGUCCCAUGAUCAGUCCACAAGUACGCACAACAGCACCAGUAUCACAACUGCACACAAAAUUUGUUAGCAAAAUUAAGAUUUGAUCAGAGCUAAAAUAUAAUAUACACCAGAAGCAAAUAGAAAUACACUGUACUUGUCCCAUGAUCAGUCCGCAAGUAUGCACAACAGCACCAGUAUCACAACUGCACACAAAAUUUGUUAGCAAAAUUAAGAUUUGAUCAGAGCUAAAAUAUAAUCUACACCAGAAGCAAAUAGAAAUAUAGGACUUCCAUCCUACAGUAGUGUGCCUCACCAACCCACAGGCAACUGACUGGGAGUUAGUCCUAGGAAGAACCAACGUCGAAAAACCCAUAUCCUUUGGCAGCGAAAUGAACAGAGACGGCUCUUCUUCAAACUUUGGAUUUUUAAUUUAAGCAACAAGGGUGAGUACAAUUUGUUGGAGGUAUGCCCUAGAGGCAAUCAUAGAGAUGAUGAUAUGUAUCCAUGAUUUGUAUAUUGUGUUCAUUGAAUAUCCAUUAAAGGCUACUUGAAUUGAUUUGCAAUUAUGUGAAUUGUAUGUGAAACUCUUUACUUGUAUGGUUAUUCUAAAGUUGUCCCUAGUCGGAGUUCAUGUGAGGACACACAUGAAUAUUAGACUAGCACAUGUAUUAGUUGAUGACUAUGUUUCACAAGUCAUGGACAUGGAGAUGUUGAACUAAUAGUGUGGACACAUGUGGAGACAUGUGCUAGGACUGACCCAACACGAGAAGUAGUUCUCUCUUUAAACAACAUAUACGCUUUGUCCUUAGACCUGAGAUUGUCGCAUGUAUUCUAGAUGUGGAUCGACCUACUUAGGGGCUAUCAAACGCUACGCCGUAACAGGGUAGUUAUAAAGGUAGCUUUCGGGUUUGUCAAGAAGCAUGCUAUGAGACAUGGUCAAUCAAGAUGGGAUUUGCCCCUCUCUGAUUGAGAGUGAUAUCUCUGGGCCCCUCGAGUGAUCGGAUCCGAAAAUGCAUGGUCAUGCUACGUACGGUUAAGAGUUGACCUACAAAGGGAUUCCGAAUCACAGGAUCGAGAAAGAGCGGUCGGCUUGAAGCUAGACCAAAUAUCGUGAGGCAAAAGGAAUAGCAUGUAUAUUAUGUUGUGAUGGUUCGUCUGAUAUGAUCUUCGUGUGCGUAUAGGAGUUGGCACGUCUUGCUAGAGGCCGCUACCGACUAUUGGGCCGAGUAGGAUUACUCGGGCCAUGUCUAUACGUAACCGAACCCAUAGGGUCACACACUUAAGGGGCUGGAAGCCCAAUUCGGAUCUGAUCCGAGUUGGAUUAGGUUUAGAAGUACUAAUGGGCCUCGGACCCAGAGGCCCGUCAGGAACCUCUAUAAAUAGAGGGGUGGGGGCGCCCUAGGGUUUACACCUUUUUGGCGAAACACACCUGCCGCGCCUCCCACGCCCUCGCCUGUUGCAACUCGCGGAUCUAACAGUCCGGCUUGCGACGCUUCCUCCCUGCACGUGUGGAUACAUUGGAGGUGUUGCGCCUGCAGCACUUGGACGAGCCGCCGACGAGCCACGACGAGCCGACGACGAGCCGCGGCACGGGAGGCGAUCUUGCUGCACGUGGACGAGCUGCUGGACGUUGAUGUGAUCGACUACGUACGACUACGUGAUUGUCUUCACUGCAUCGACGCAUAUCUACAUCUUCCGCACCAGUAGUGCGUCGAGUGGUAAUCCCGUGAUCCUUAUACGGCAGUUCUUCCUGGUUUUACGCGGUAGAAAUUUUGAUUUGCGCUAGUGUAGCCUACCUCGUAUCCCAACACAAUUUUGUACUCGCAAGACUUCGAGUGUAUAGAAAAAAUCCUAUUAAAUAUGCAAGGUAAUCAAGGAGGGCUGACAAGUCAUUUUACGCAUAUUUUAUAAAUUAGUUUGAUAUGUUUAAAAUAGACUAACAUUACCAAUCAUGACCCACCAUUUCCCAUACCACGUUGGGUCCAUAGACCAACUAUAUCGGUCCAAAACAUUUGAAUGAUACCAUUCAAGCCCAUUCCUGGUUUUCAAAACAAAGCUCUAUAACCGGCGACCAGUCCAAGUUGCUCAUGACCAUGAGCACGGCUAUUCGAAUAGUUUUUAACACUUUGCAGAGUUUGUACACUUUACCCACACGACAUGCUCCACUUUGAUGCCUUCGCGAAUUGACACAUUUCUGAGAUGUGCCGGCAAGCGAGCAUGACAAAGCUGUUACAUCAGUCGGAUCCAACAUAAUGCUACACGACAAACUAUAGGAGCGCCUCCGUACAUCUACCCGGGUUAGCUACCUCAACAUUGACAAAUCAUCUCAUGCACUCGGGUGGUAACAUCACCUCGGGGCCAACUGACUUAGUAAGCUAAGGAGGUACACAUUAAGCACAUGUGGUUGUACUAUAACACUUCGACUAGAAGAUGCUAAUUUUCGAUCCUUAAUUUGACACUGUGAGAAUCCCUAAAAUGCGCUGGAAACGCAUAUAGGACCAAGUCAUAUCCACCAUUGAUUUUAUCAUCCAUCUUUCUUUAUCCUCGUAUCAUCAUGACCUCUAGACCACAUUAUCACCCGCGUCUACCAUAGAGUUUUUACUUUUAGUAAAUCAUCCCUCCCAAGUGAUGCUAUUUAAGCAACCACAUAUAUAUGCUAAGCCAAAGCAUAUGACACCGAACUGAACGAAUAACCCAUAACCUUAUGGCAACAAGGUAUAAAAGGUUUAAAAUAACAAGGCAGGUAUAUGGAUUAAAGUAGGACGUGUCUACCCGACAAAAAAUGACAUUUAGACUCAUAUAAUCAUCAUCGCAUGCAUAUAAAUCACAGGCUUAGGCAUUUAAAUAGGAGCAAAGAUGAUCAAGGGGGUUCUAGCCUUGUUGCUAAUCAUUCAUGUUCUCGAGUAUUAGCUCAAAGUCUCGCUCGGUGUCUGGCGCAGCUACGAGUGUCUUGUCGUGUACUCGAAUCAAAUGAACGAAAGCACAUGCAAAAGAGCCAAAUAAACAACAAUGAACAACCAAAUAAACACCAUAAGAUGAUAGAGCAUGAUUUUAGAAAAUUUUAGGAAAAAGAGUCACUCGAUUUGGAGUUAAAAUGAGGAAGUUAUGCGUGUUUGAAGUUUUAAAUCCAGAUUAAUAGAUGAAAACUACUAUAAACACAUUAAUUCACAAAUGGCAUGUAAUUCAUUCAGAAAAACAUGGAUAAAAUUUUUAAGAGUUUCUAUACAUAAAAACUAGUCUUAAAGAAGCGGUUUAAUCAUUCUAUUAUUUUUCUACUAAUUACUAUGCAAUUAGUCAGAUUUAGCCGGCAAACAAAAGAUAGUUUGAAAACAGUAUAAAAACUACUUAUUUCACCUAUUCAAGUUAUAGAUCUGAAGCAUACACAGAAUAUGGAAGCUAACAAAAUUGGUUUCAUAAUUUUUGGAGCAACUUACAAUUUAUUAGGCAUUAAACAAGUCUAGUACACGAUAAAUUAUAGAACCAAAACAACAACAAUGACAUGCUCAAAGUCAUUUUUAUAUGAAACUUCACCUCACCAGAACAGUAACAAAAUUUAGUUUGUAUUUUUAUCAUUUUUCUAUGAUUUUAUAUACAUUUCUAAAGAUCACAGCCGAAACAAAAGAUCAAGAACAAACUGUUGACACCAAAACCCUGUGUUGACACCGGAUUUUGACCAAUCCUAUAAAUUCGGAGUACAAGAUAAUUGGAGUCACGUACAGCAAUAAGAAGCUAGCAUGCGUGCACAUGGGCACAGAGUCCAAAUCGGCUUCAUUGGAUUGAUCGGCAAGAAGAGGCAAGGAUGAUAUAAAAGAAAGGCCAGCACGUAUGGAUAAAAAUGAUUAGAAUUUACAACAUGGAUUCUGGUGCACUUUGCAUGCCAUGCGUGGGAGGCUUCCAGAAUAAUUAUACAUGCGGCCGAUCUAUGCAUGUACGGGAGGUUGUUUCAUAGAAUAAAAUAUUUUAGAGAUAGAGUUGAGUUAGUUAGAGAUAGAGUUUUUUAUUAGAAAAGAUUGUGCACGUGACUUGCCUUGUGCGUGGUUAGAUGCCAAUUAUGUAACGUCCGCCCUAUAAAUAUAAAGGGACGUGGCCAUUGUAAAUCAUCAUCAGACGAUCAAUAUACAACACAUUUAUCUUUUAUUUACCUUUUCGGCUUCACGCCAUUGCAUUAGUAGUAGGAGUAAUGUAGCUUCUCGACGAGUUCCUUCUAGGAAGCUGGGCUGCAUCGACCUCGAUCUCCGGCGAGCUGCAAAGUUCCGUCACCAGGUGUUCUAGGCUUUAACCACCGGGCGCAUCGCUGUGGUUUCGUCUAGUUUCAUCUACCAGUUAUCGAAUAUCUUGGAUCUUCGACUUACGGCGCAUCGCUUCUGUCUUGAUCUACAGUAUUCACCAGUUAUCCAGCCUUGAUUAAGUUUGCAUCGGCUGAUAUUUAUCUGUUCUAUCGUCUUGCCGUUCAGUUUGCUUUAAUUAGCUUUAGAUCGGUUCAUUAUAGAUGACAGAUCGCUUAAUAGUCUGUUGCAUCUUAAUCUUGGUUACCCCUUCGAGUGCUGUUGGGAUUAAGUUUCGUUAUGAUUGGAUUCAUCGGCUGGUGGGGUUCAGAUUAACAUCCUGCUAAAUACUUCUAGACUGCAACUACCGGACGCAUCGCUGUGGUUUCAUCUAGAGAUAUUGGUGGAGAGUUUAGUUUAGAUCUCAUCGGUUUGUGGCUCUAGCUAUGGUGGAGCGGCAGCUCAAUAGCAUCCUGUUUUCUAUCGACCGCCUGGCCGAUGGUUAUUGUAAAUUAUAUUAAAUCGGCUGGAUGGCCGAUGAAUCACUCACAUUCAUCAAGGCACUGGAAUCGGCUUCACAGCUAAUAUAUUUGUCAUGAUUUAUUUUGUUGCACCAUUAUUGCUACUGUGCCAAGAUUAUAUCGGCCUGAUCGGCCGGUUGCCUCGGACUUCACAACGACUAUCAUCUCCUUGCCAGUUGAAUGGUCAAACUGACUGGCACGCCCGUGUACACCAUGCGCGCCAAUUUGGAUUCUGCACUGGAGUUAAGCAGAUCUCCCAGGUCCUCAUGUGCUGAUGCAGGGUCCACCACCGUCGGGAUUUUGCGUCAACACAAACUAACUUCGCAUCGAGGCCCUUAGAAACUUUCUUUCUUAACAGAUAUAUCCUUUCCUUCACAAAUCAAUCCUCAUUUCUUGCACUUAAGACCCUGGAUAAACUUUAACUAAUCACAUAAACCCUGAUCUUUUACCCAUAACCCCCGACAGCUUCUUUCUUUCUCGCGAAACCGCCCCUCCCCUCUCCUUCUUCCUCCAAACCGCCCGCGCCCCACAGCGAACGCCAGAGCGCGGUGGCCUCAACUUCCACCCCAAAAACUACCCCAGGACAGUCUCUAGGAUCUAUCUCACCUUCUUCCCUACUCUUCUCCCCGAAACCCUAGCUGCAUCCUACCCCAUGGCUAACGGCGUCACUCCGACGAUGGCGUACUCGGGAACAAGCGUGGCAACAGGGCUAAAAUAGCAAAAGGGAGCGAGCAUGAGGGCCAGGGGCUCACCUUGGCUCGGUUUGAGCGGUUGGUUGGCGAAGAGGAGGGCCGGAGGGUAGGGUUCGACGGUGAGAUGGAGCUCGGGCCAUGGCGGCCACGGGAUUUGAAAUCCUGGGCACCCUGGCUGCCACGGCGUGAAGGGGGUUGGGUCAUGGAGGGAGCUGGGGAGGUGAGGGAGUUCCGGUGGCGGCGAUUUGGAAGUGGCGGCCGGAGGUGUGAGGAUUUUGGUGGCGGGUUGGAGAGCUCACUUGGUUCCUUGGCUCAGGCAGAGGAAGAAGAUGGAUAGAAAGAGAGGGAGAUAGAGCAAGGAGGCAUGCUGCUUGCUGCUGUGCUGCUUUGGUGAAGUAGAAGAGCAGUGGGGAGAGAAUGGGCUACUGCUAGCUGUGCUACUUGCGCUGCCGACAAAGAGAGAAGUGUUAGAUUGAUCUCCUCUCAAUGGGCCCAACAGCCCAUUGAGCCCUUGACUCGUGCCCUAAUCGGGGGCGCCCACCCUAGCAUUGGGUGGUAGGCCCAUAUCACCUGCGCUAUAAAAAGAGGAGUGGGGGCCAGGGCACACAGUACGAGGUUCACCGCACCACCAUCCACCCCAUCGACAAAACCCUAGACCGACCGAUCACGGGGGCGCAGCGAUGACGGGAAGCACCACCACCGCUACGCCGGCGACACGACACGGGACUGCACGUCGCUGCCUAGCGCAGAGCUCCACCGACCGAACCACGGCACUGCGCGUCGCUACCUAGUGCAGAUCUUCACCGACAGAACCAGCGAUAGCCAGCGGCUCUGCCGCUUCCACCCCUAGGGGUGAAGGUACCCCAUCUAUCUCUCUCUCUCUCUCUCUCUCUCUCUCUCUCGGUUAACACUGAAACCCCAUGAACUCAAUGUUUACCCAUAAUCCUGACUAGUUCUACAUCUAGAGAUCCUAGGUUUAAUCCUAACAAUAGUAUCAGUCGCCUAUCUGGAAGUAGAUCUUAGAUCGGGAAGAAGAUGAAAAAUCGAAAAGAAAAGGGAAAAGUAAAACCCUAACCCUAACCCUAGAUCUAAAGAAAAGACGGACGCGGAGAGGGUUACCUGCCGCCGUCCUCACCACCGCACGUCCACCGACGGCGAGCAGAAAAGGCCGGCCGAGCCACGGGCUCACUGGAAAAGACCAGCCGAGCCGCGCACUCGCCGAGCAGCGCGACCGCCGCGCGUGGGCGCAAUAGCACCACCGCAGGAUCGCUCGACGGCGGCGGGCUCACCCUCGGGUGAAUGCGCGCGCCGGCGAGGGGACCCGCGGCAGAGCUGACCCUCCUCCACGGCCGCCAUGGCUAUCUCACUGGAUCUCGUUGAGGCUCGGAGGGAGAGGGGGAGGGGAAAGCAAGAAAGAAGAGAGGGGGGAGGUACCGCGGCCAUGCGCCAGCGGGGCCAUCCCUCAACCACUGGCGGCGGACCCCACCGGGCACAAAAGAGAUGACCCCGCCGUCGCCGCCACGGUGUGAGUUCACGGGGGAGGGACACGAAAAUGGCUAGGGUUCGGGAGGCGCCGGAGCAAACGGCGGUUUUGAUCCGCCGAUAACACCGUGCAGCCGUCCAAUCAGACGGACGGACGAGAUUGUCCGAGCUAGAUAAGGCCCAGGCGGGAGGAGGUGCCAGGCCGCUUCGGUGGCCCAAGCCCAAGUUGUGGCCUGCGAGCGAACGAGCCAAGCCUCUAUGCCGACAUGGGCCGGAGCGCAUAGCGGCUGCUAGGCCAAAGGCCAACAGGCCGAGCUCAAUAGCGGGCUGGGCGAGUCAACCAGAGCACGGGCAGUGCGCAGGACAGGCCGUUUGGGCUGGUUUUUUGCUGUUGGGCUGAAAAGAUGAAAAAUGCACAGUAAUGUUUCAUGAAUUUGAUUUUUCUAUGUUCAGAGGAAUUUUUUGAUGAAUUUUGUAUAGUUUUUUACCUCUAUCCAAAUUUGAACCAACGGGAUAAUUUGUCAUAGAGAUGAAUAAAUUUUUUUUAAGUAUUUUUGCCUCUGAAAAUAGAAUUAUUUGAAAGUUUCCGUUGCAAAAUGUCUAAAGUGUUGCUCUUUAAAUUUAAUUUGAACCAACGAAACAAUUAAAUUUUAGAGCAUGCUAAAGUUAAUUUUUUCUUAGAGAUUGAUUAUGAUCCUGUUAUUUUCUAACCAACGUUGUUAAUAACUGUAUCAUGAUUAAAAAGAUUACAUGCUUUUAUUUCUAUUUCUGCCCAACGGUGAUGUAGCUUUAAAUUGCAUAAACACUUGCAUAUUUUAUUUUUUGACCAAAACUAGAAAUAAAUCAUGCAAUUGUUGUAAUGAUCUCACCUUGAAUUGUAACUUUCAGGAGGAUUCAACUUAAUGGCUUGUCUCAAAGAGAUACCUACUCUGAGAGGAGACAACCACACACAAUGGAGGAAAAGGAUUGAUCUUGCCUUUGUUUGUGGAGAGGUUGACUGGGUGGUUAGCAUACCACAGCCAAAACCUCCAGAACCACCAGUGAGGGUUGAAAGUGAUACUGAUGCUGCAUGGCAGGAAAAGGUGAGGGAUUAUGCUCCUCUAGAGUUGGCAUAUACUCUCGAAAACAAACAGUGGACCACUGCCAACAAAACGUGUAUGGCCUUGGUAAAGAACACGAUUGAGCCUGCCAUUUUGGGCUCGAUCACAGAGUGUGUCUUCGUUGUAGAGUACCUUGACAAAAUAAAGAAUCAGUUUACUAGUUCUUCAAAGACAUUUGCUACCCAGUUGUUUAAUCAGCUGGCCACAGAAAGGUACUCUGGAGGAGGAACUGGCAUAAGAAAGCACAUCCUCAGGAUGUACAAUCUGGCAGCAGUUGAAGCCAAUGGAUCUUGAGCUCAAACCUGGGCACAUUAUUCAUCUGGUUUUUGCUUCCCUACCAAAAGAAUUUGAUACUUUUGUUGUUAACUACAACAUGCAACCAGAAUAGUGGGAUAUGGAAAAGAUGAUAGCCAUGUGCGUGCAGGAAGAGGACAGAAUCAGAUCUUCACAUGGUGGUUCUUUGCACUAUGUGAAGGAUAACAAGAAAAAGAAUACACAUGCUAGCUCCUCUUCCAAGUCACGUGGAAAGGCUCCCAUGCAGCAACAACAUCAAAAGCCCUUCACAAUUGACAAAGAUCAGUGCCUCCACUGCAAGAAACGGGGGCAUUACAAGAAAGAUUGCCUCAAUUGGUUGAAGUCCAUAAUGGCAAAGAAAGGUGAGAAUAUUAUCUCAUUUAUAAAUGAAUCCUUGUAUACGCAGUAUUCGAAAUCUACUUGGUGGAUUGACUCAGGUGCAACUGUUCAUGUUGCAAAUCCUUUACAGGGAUUUCCGUUCGACGAGGACUACGCAAAAAAGCGAAAGACGCAUUGAAGUUGCAAAUGGAGUCCAAGCAGAUGUUGAAGCUGUUGGCGAUGUCUCUCUAGAGCUAGUUGAUGGUUUCACACUUCUGCUUAAAGAUGUUCUUUAUGUUCCUUCAUUACACAGAAACUUGAUUAGUAUUUCAUGUUUGGGUAAAGAUGGUUAUGAAUGUAAUUUUGAACAUUGCAAGUGUGCCAUUUGGUUUGAUAAUGCAUGUGUUGGCGUCGCUACCCUUCACAAUGAGCUUUAUUUAUUAUCGCUGCGUGAAAAAGUAAAUUUUGUGCGUGAUGUGAAUCAGAAUGUAUCCUUGCCAAAGAAAGAGACAAACAAAAGAAAGAGAACUCAUGAUAUAUCAUCGAAAUUAUGGCACUAUCGCUUAGGCCAUAUUUCAAGGGGAAGAAUAGAAAGACUAGUUAAGAAUGAAAUUCUUCCUCAACUAGAGUUCUCAGACUUAGAACAAUGCGUAGAUUGCAUUAAAGGAAAGUAUGUAAAGCAAAUUAAAAAGGCACAAAACGUAGCACAAGAGUUUUAGAGAUAAUCCACACUGAUAUUUGUGGACCAUUUCCUGUGAAAAGCGUGGAUGGCUAUGACUCAUUCAUAACAUUCACAGACGAUUACUCUCGUUAUGGUUACAUUUAUCCAAUUAAAGAAAGAUCGGAAGCGUUGGAUAAAUUUAAGAUAUUUAAAGCUGAAGUUGAAAAUCAGCAUGACAAAAUAAUUAAAAUAGUAAAUCCGACCGUGGGGGGAGUAAUAUGGUCGGCAUACCCCAUUUGGCCAAGUUCCUGGACCUUUUGCAAGGUUCUUGCACGAAAAGGGUGUAGUAACCCAGUAUUCGAUGCCGGGCGAGCCUCAGCAAAAUGGAGUAGCUGAAAGGUGUAACCGUACACUGAUGGAUAUGGUGCGCAACAUGAUGAGUUAUUCCACUUUGCCAUUGGGAUUGUGGAUGGAGGCAUUAAAAACUGCCAUUUACAUUCUCAAUAGAGUACCAAGUCGGUGCCCAAAACACCGUAUGAACUCUGGACAGGAAGAGUACCCUCACUAAACCACCUGCGUGUGUGGGGGAGCCCAGCUGAGGCCAAAGUAUUUAACCCAAACAUUGGGAAGCUAGAUCCCAAAACAGUAAGCUGCCACUUCACUGGCUAUCCUGAAAAAUCAAAAGGUUUUCAUUUCUACUGCCCAGACAGAUAUACAAAAUUUAUAGAAAUGAGACACGCUAUUUUCUUAGAGGAUGAAUUGAUGAGGGGGAGCAUGGUAGCUCGAGAGAUUGAUCUUGAGGAGAAGCAGGUGUGUGCACCCACUCCGAUGAUUCAGGAGCCAUUUUUCUCACUACCUGUUGUUCCUGCACCGACAGUUCCUGAGAUUGCGGUGCAAGCACCUGCUGUGAUUCCACCCAUGGAAACGAUGAGUGAAAUUUUGGAACCUGUCCUUCAGGAGCCAAUUGAACCCAUUGUUGCACAUGAGGAAGAGUUGCAGCAGCCACCUCAAGGUGAUGUGCCACAAGCUGAGGUACAGAAUGUGCCCACAAAUGAGGGGCCUAGAAGGUCUCAAAGAGUUAGAAGAUCACCUAUUCCUAGCGAUUAUAAAGUUUAUAAUAUAGAAGAAGUUCAUAUGGAAGGUGAUCCCAUUUCAUAUGAAGAAGUCGUGAGAAGCGCUCACUCAUCAAAGUGGCUAGAGGUCAUGGAAGAUGAGAUGAAAUUGAUGAGUUCCAACGAAGUUUGGGAACUUGAAGAAAUUCCUAAAGGAGCCAAAACAGUAGGCUGUAAAUAGGUCUACAAGACUAAAUGUGACUCCAAAGGGAAUAUAGAAAGGUUUAAGGUGCGACUUGUGGCAAAAGGCUUUACACAAAACUUUCUCACCUGUCUCAUGUAAAGAUUCCUUCAGAAUCAUAAUGGUAUUAGCAGCACAUUUUGAUUUAGAAUUACAUCAGAUGGAUGUAAAGAUGGCAUUUCUAAAUGGGGAUUUAGAAGAAAAUGUCUACAUGAAACAACCCAAGGGUUUUAUUAUGGAAGGAUAAGAGAAUAUGGGAUGUCGUCUAAAGAAAUUCAUUUAUGGAUUAAAGCAAGCCUCUAGACAGUGGUAUCUAAAGUUUAAUGAUACGAUUAAGAAAUUUGGGUUUCAAGAGAACAUAGAGGACAAUUGCGUCUAUGCGAAGUUCAAAAAUGGGAAAUACAUUUUCCUAAUUCUGUAUGUGGAUGAUAUCUUGCUUGCGAGCAGUGAUAUCAGUCUACUACCAGAGACAAAGAAGUUUUUGUCCUCAAACUUCGAUAUGAAAGAUCUCGGUGAAGCAUCAUAUGUUUUGGGCAUAGAAAUUCACCGAGAUAGAAGGAAUGGGGUUUUAGGAUUAUCGCAAAAGGCAUAUUUAGAAAAGAUUCUAAAGAAGUAUAAUAUGCAUGCGAGUAAAGCCACACCUGCUCCUAUAGUCAAGGGCGACAGUUUUGGGAAUUUCCAAUGUCCCAGGAACCAAUACGAGCUCGAACAAAUGAAAGUGGUUCCAUAUGCUUCAGCUGUCGGAAGCCUACAGUAUGCUCAAGUAUGCACUCGCCCUGACUUAGCUUUUGUCACCGGGGUACUUGGAAGAUAUCAAAGUAAUCCAAGUAUAGAGCACUGGAAGAUGGUGAAGAAAGCAUUGUGUUACGCACAAGGCACAAAAGACCUCAUGCUUACGUAUAGAAGAUCUGAUUCCCUAGAGAUAAAAGUAUAUUCAGAUGCAGACUUUGCAGGAGACAGAGAUGAUAGAAAAUCCACAUCUGGUUACGUGUUAACUCUCACAGGAGAAGCUAUUUCGUGGAGAAGCUCCAAACAGAAAGUAACUGUGUCAUCUACGAUGCAUGCAGAGUUUAUAGCAUGUCAUGAGGCUACAAGGCAGGCGAUGUGGUUAAAGAAAUUUAUACCCGGAUUGAGAGUGGUUGAUUGUAUUCACAGACCACUAAAGAUGUACUGCGAUAAUGAGCCAGCAGUAUUCUAUGCUCACAACAAUAAAUCAAGCAAUGCUUUCAAAACCAUUGAAAUAAAGUUUUAUGUUGUGAAAGAUAAAAUCCAGGAUCGCACUAUAAGUCUCGAGCAUAUAAGAACAAAGAGCAUGCUUGCGGAUCCGCCUACGAAAGGCUUACCACCCAAUGUGUUCAGAGAACACUUAGCUAGCAUGGGUUUAAGGGAAAGCCUAUGAUUCCGGGAUUAUAAAGGGCCCAAAAGAAAUAGAAUUAUUUCAAAAUAGAGAGGUGUGUCGUAGCUGUUGAUUUCAUCGGCGAUUGAGCUGUGAUGAUGAGGCAUGCUCUACACAUUAAUCUAUGAUGGAACGAAUAAAACGAAAAGUAUAAGGUUAAAAGUAUAUGAUGAGAUCAAGGGGGAGCAUGUUAGAUUGAUCUCCUCUCUAAUGGGCCCAACAGCCCAUUGAGCCCUUGACUCGCGCCCUGAUCGGGGGCGCCCACCCUAGCAUUGGGUGGUGGGCCCCUGCCACCUGCACUAUAAAAAUAGAGGUGGGGGCCGGGGCGCACGGUACAAGGUUCACUGCGCCGCCAUCCACCACACCGACAAAACCCUAGACCGACCGAUCACGGGGGCGCAGCAGUGAUAGGAAGCACCACCACCGCUAUGCCAACAACACGACACGGGACUGCGCGUCGCUACCUAGCGCAGAGCUCCACCGACCGAACCACGGCACUGCGCGUCGCUGCCUAGUGUAGAUCUUCACCGACAGAACUAGCGAUGGCUAGCGGCUCUGCCGCUUCCACCCCUAGGGGUGAAGGUACCCCAUCUCUCUCUCUCUCGGUUAACACUGGAACCCCAUGAACUCAAUGUUUACCCGUAAUCCCGACUAGUUCUACAUCUAGAGAUCCUAGGUUUAAUGCUAAGAAGAGCUAAGAGAUGACGUAGGUGGCGUGCUUCGCGUGCGCGUGCUGUGCGUGCGUGAGUUGGGGCUCACAGGGCUUGGCGCACAGGGGCAGCGAGGAUGGGUGGAGCUGUUGCGCGGGGGUGACAAGGUGGGCGGAGCAGCGGCGGCCGAAGACGUUGGCGCGAUCGUACGCCGGUGGCGUGGGAAGGAAGCAGCGGGCGGUGCGGAAGAGAUGGGGAAGACGGCGUCGGUGCUGCUGACGCACAGGCCCGGGCGACCAGAUGAGGUGGGCGGAGGAGAAGGCCGUUGAACCGUCGCGGGCCGGCCCAAGGGGAAAAAGAAAGGUCAUCGGCCUGAGCGGGAAGGAGAAGGAAGAAAUGGGCCGGCUCUGAUUCGGCCUAGGUAGAGUUGAUUCGGCCUAGGUAGAGUUUAGGAAUUUGAAAAAGAUUUCUCUUUUGUUUAUUUCGUGGAAUUCAAACUAGAUUUUGAAUCCAAAGCAAACUUGUCCCACAAUUUCUGAGAAAUUCACCAAAAAUGAUUUAGUGUCUCGGAACUCUUGUAUAGAAGUUUGAAGAUUUAUUGACUAGUAUUUUAGCACAAUAUUUUCUUGCUUUAUUUAAGUCAUUUCAUUUUUUUUAAAUGCAUCUUUUGCAAGAUAAAACCAAGAACUCAAACCAAAAUUUUUAUUCAAUCAUUUUAGGUCAAUUUUUGAUAUAUUUUUUUGUAAUACCAUUUUCUUUCAUGACCUUUUAAAUAUGCUCAAGCCUCAGGGUUAUUAAUGCAUAAAACAUGAGAAGAACCAAAUAAAAGCCAAGGCAAGUUUUAUUUAUUUAUUUAUCUUGAUUUUAUUUCUGUUUGAAUUUUGGGCUGUUACAGUAGGUAUCAUCACCCGAUAUCCUGAUCCUAUGGUUUAAUCUAACAAAGGGUCAAUCACAGAAAUUAAUGAUACACAAAAUAGUACAAAUUUUGUAAAGCAAAACUCCGAUCCAUACCAAUCUGCAAGUUUAUUUUAGGAUAAACAUUUAAGGAUGGUCAAGUAUUAUUUGUCGCAUUUUGUAAGUAAUUAGAUAACACAGGAUAUGAAUCAUCACCAAGGAGAAAAAAAUGAUAUGCAGGUAGAAUAGAUCCAAUAGUCAAAGAGUGGCCGCUGCUAUAGAAUGAAACAAACAAAUAGCUAGAAAAUACACCUUAAAUAGCACCUGCUCUAUCCGAUGCCCCAGAAUCGAUAUGAAUUGCGCGUGAGGCACGUUUCCGUUCGCACAAUGUGCUUGACGUGAUCCCAGCAACUAACGUACCCCUAAACCCUAGCUUGUUCGGUUAAUCCAAUAUCCAUGGUGAUUGAAAGGGAUCGUAUAGCAGAUUAAAUCCCAGACCCAUGGGGUGUGGAAUUAACCCCUCCCAACCCCUUCCAAUUUCCAUGGAGAAGGGAUUAACCAAACACAAUAGCAAACCCAAAUUGCAACCGAAUGCUACGGCAAACCCUAAUCGCAGCAAAUCGCCAAUGCAAUUCGUCCCUAAACGAAUCAUCAGACAAAUUGCGCCAACAGAUUGCAACAGAAUCUCGAACACGGAAACCCCAAGUUGCAAACCCAAUUCAUCACCACACGAAAAAAAUUAGAGAGAACAUUGAACAUAGAAACCUGGUAAACUCACCAUGCCACUAGAAAGCUUGGCCCCUCCAGUAGCAUUGCCAGCAGUGCCUGGAUCCCUGCCGCCAGUGGAGCCCCUCACCCUCCCGACCGACUUCUCGAUGAACUUUGCAUUAGGGCCUUUCAUCCCCUUGAUGAUGGUCGGGUUGAGCACGGCCGCGUGGGGGUUAGGGAUGGAAUUGGGGAGGUUGGAAGGUUAGGAGGAGGAGGAGGAGGCUGGAGGAGAAACGCGUCGCGAAACUGCAACGACAAUGCAAGGGGGAUGGGGUUGGGGUCAAGGCCUCAAGGGGAUGGGAACUUGGGGCAAGUGGAAGGGGAUAGAGAGUCCGAGAGGGAAAUUUUUAUCUGACUGCAACUGUUUGAGCAUUGAAAUAAUGUAGAUCAUAUAUGCCUAGACACCACGGGUGCAUUGAAAUAAUGUGGACCCUGUAUGUCUAGACACCACGGGUUAGUAACUUCUGUACGCCAUAGAAUUUGCGUACUCGAGGGUUGACAGCGCCUGGAUCUGGUCUACAAUAAUUCAUUUUAUAGCACAUUACUCAAAGCUUACACCCUCUCUCACAUUAAUAAAGCAUAGAGUCAGGUUCGUCGGUGAUAAUUCCAGCAUCGGCACGUCCGCACGAAGCAAAAGCAUCUUGCCGCACUGUUUGCCUAUCACCUUGCGUUCUUGCCUGCCCUUCGGUUCUGGUUGUAUAGGUAAAGCAGCGUCACUUGUUGCCUGGGAGUGUUCUAUAGAAUAAUAUUUGAACCAAAAUCGUUGUAGAACAAUUCAUUUGCUGCAUUAGCACUAGCUUGCGAUCCAAGAGGUUAGUUAAACCGCUACUGGCCGGUACUCCUACGUGGAAAGUAAUAACACCACGGAUCGACCGUGUCAGUCGAUCGGGUCUCCCUGGAGCUAGCGCCGCAGUCGCCGUCCGUGCGCCGCACGGGUGCCUCCGUCCUGUCCGCUCGCAACAUGAACCGAAUACUUGGCGCGCGCGGCUGCCGCCGCUUGCGUGCCCACACGCAUCCCUUCGCGCGCACCAGUGCGCCACUUUAAUUUGGAGAUGACGUGCGGCAGUGGCUCGCACGGCUAGCGCUGACAUCAUCCUGGUGAGGUCACGCGAACGACGCAAGCACGCACGUACGCUGCGCCAGAUGCUCGAGACGGUUCCUGGUCGAUCCAGAAGCUAAUCCUAUCCAACGCACCCAGACCUGCACGUAUCUUACUUAGAUAAUCCUUAGCCAAGAAGGAAUGCAGGUGUGUGUACGCCACCGUUCUCGGGCUGCCGGCAGCUUGUACUCCUUUGUCCUAAAUUUCUAUUUAUUUUAACUUUUCUAAAUAUAUAUUAUGUCAUACUGUGUAUCUAAGAAAAAGUUAAAAUAAAUAGUAAUUUGGGAUGAAGGGAGUAUUAGAUAGAGAGCGAGAGCUAUCGCUGAGCGGAACAGGCAUGUCUCAUGCUUAUCCCCAACUCGAUUCGAUCGAUCGAUACCUGCGCGAGUACAUUACAAGAAUGGAAGAUGGUGUGCAAAUGCACUUUCCACGUUCCCAUUGCUUUUACGCCCUCUUGCUACUCCUAAGUCCUAACUUGACAAUUUGUCAAGAGCACGUACAAAGAGAGUCCUCAAGCCAUGAUCAACAUAAACAUCCUACAUGUACAUGUGUGUAUGUGUGUGUAUAUAUAUAUAAAUGAGGAAAGAGAGCCUUGCUGUCGUCUCGUGAGACGAUGGCCCCAGCCCGUGCUCCGAAAUCAUACCGCCGACUGUUCUCCCAUUGUACACGUCGUCGACAACUAGUUCCUGAUCGAGUACGGCGCACGCGUGAUGCUCCGUCCCAGACUUCCAGUUCUCUCUUCUAUCUUCCCAAACUUCUUCGAUCCCUCAAAACUUCCGUUCAUGGCAGCCAUGGUCACCCACCUCCACUUCCUUACCUCCCGGACCAAGCAAAAUGGAUUACGCUCCUUCUGUUCUCUCUCCCUGUGCAGACAGGUUGUUUAAACUGUUGAACAUGUUUGCAGGAGCAGGACUAGCAGCAGCAUCAGCCAUCAAUGCCGUCGUCUCUACUAGUACGAGCAAUGCUGCACUACCACUCAGUGGCGGAGGGAGGGGGGGCAGGGGGGGCCUGGCACCCCCUGACCCUGUCGGGCACCACCCAUCAGGAGUGGACCUGGCACCCCCUGUGGCCUGGCCGGUUGGUCAAAUAUCAACUUCAGUCUAUCACGGUGGCAUGAGGAGUUGGAGUUGGAGUUGGAAGCGGCAUGGGCCUGGCUCCUGGCCGCCUGGGCACUGGCCCAAUUAAAAAAUACACCUGCCUUUAUUCCUGCCGCUAGACGCAGACGCCAAUACCGAGUCGUCCAGUCGCUCCUCCGUUUGUUCUGUUCGUUCUCCUGCCGCCGCCGCCAGUCAAAAAAAAGACGAGGAAUCAAUCCAAGGAUUCAAGGAUGAGGCCAGCCAUGCGCUGAUGCGUAGCAGGCAGCAGCGUCUCCUGGAUUUGUGGUUCGUUUGCGCAGCUUGUUUUCUCUUAUCUUUAUUUUUCUAGGUUAUAAAUCUUAGGGAUUUUUUAUUUAUGUGUUUCAUGAUGCACGUACAGUCGUACAGAUGAUUAAUAUGAAGAAGAGAAAGACUAUCAAUAGUUUUUUUAAGCCGAUUGGCUCAAGUGCUCCUGAUCUAGAAGGGGAAACUCAUAAUGAUCAUGUACAAAAUUCUAAUAAUCAGAGUAAUGUUGCUGCUACCGCUGAACCAAUCGAAGCCGAGGUUGCCGAGCAUCCACCAGUUAUUGCUACUAGAUUUGAGAGAGACCCUGGUAAACGUGUUCAGAUAUUGGAAUUGUCAGCGGAUCAACAAGAUGAAGCUCGAAGAUUUUAUAUUUCAGAGGGUCCAUAUCAACCUGUGUUGGCAGAGUACCCACUUAGUGAAUUAGCUCAUCGUCGUCGAUUUCAGAGUAACUGGUUCAAGCAAUUUACUUGGCUAGAAUAUUCACCUCAUACAAACCGUGCUUACUGUCUGCCAUGUUUUUUAUUUUCCAAGAAGCCAAUUGGGAAAGUUGGAUCAGAUACAUUCAUAGUAAAGGGGUUUCAGAAUUGGAAGAAAGUUAAUUGCGGAAAUGAAUGUUCUUUUCUAAAACAUAUGGGAGAUGCCAGCUCAGCCCACAAUUAUUCUGUUCGGUGUUUUAAUAAUCUUAAGAACACAAUGGCUCAAAUUGACAAUGUGAUUGUUAAACAAAAAGAGAUAAUGGUUGCAAAAGGAAGACGAAGGCUUGCGACUACGAUUGAUUGCAUUAGGUAAUAAGAUCAAAUUCUCAUGUCUUUGUGCAGUAUUUAAAGUUAACUUGCUUUCUUUAUGUACUUAUAGGUGGUUGACAUUCCAAGGUUGUCCCUUUAGAGGCCAUGAUGAAUCUCCAGAGUCAAUAAAUAGAGGUAACUUUAUUGAAAUGGUCAAGCUUUUGGCUUCCUAUAACACGGAGGUUAAUGAGGUUGUUUUGGAAAAUGCUCCCAAAAAUGCAAAAUACACUUCACCUGAUGUCCAAAAGGAAAUUCUAAGCAUACUUGCUCGAAAAGUGCAGAAAUCAAUUAGAGAAGAAAUUGGCAAUAGCAAAUUUUGCAUAAUGGUUGAUGAAGCUCGAGAUGAGUCCAAAAAAGAGCAAAUGGCGAUAGUCCUCCGAUUUGUCAACAAGGAAGGCCUUAUAAAGGAGCGUUUCCUUGAUCUGAUCCAUGUUAGUGAUACUACAGCUUUGACACUUAAAGAGUCAAUUUGUGCUGUCCUCUCAGCUAAUGGCCUAAGCAUACAAGAUAUAAGAGGUCAAGGUUACGAUGGGGCCAGUAACAUGAGAGGGGAGUGGAACGGAUUGAAAGCUCUAAUUCUCAAUGAGUGCCCAUAUGCAUAUUAUAUUCAUUGCAUGGCUCAUCAGCUUCAGUUGGCCCUCGUAGCAGCAUCAAGGGAGGUACAUGAGGUACACAAUUUUUUUCAGCAUGCAAAUUUCAUCAUAAAUGUUGUUAGUACUUCUCCUAAGCGCAACGAUGAGUUGCUAGCAAAACAAGCAGAGGAAAUUGCCCAUGAAAUUGAAUUGGGAGAGCUUGACACAGGACGAGGGGCAAAUCAGAUUUCCUCCCUACAAAGGCCAGGGGACACUAGAUGGAGUUCCCACUAUAGGUCUAUUCUAAGCUUAAAGAAGAUGUUUGGUGCCACAGUUUCAGUCCUACGCAACAUUGCUAAUGAUCGUUCAGUUUCAAAGUAUUCUCGGGGAGAUGCCAGUGGUGCCUUACGAAUCAUUGUCACAUUUGAUUUUGUGUUUAUUCUACUCCUAAUGGAAAAGAUUAUGAAGAUCACUGAUGUAUUGUGCCAGACACUCCAAAAGAAGAGCAUUGAUAUCUUAAAUGCGGUGGAUUCUGUUUCUACCACAAAAGUGUUGCUUGGUGAGUUGCGAGAUAAUGGUUGGGAACCUCUUCUUGAGGAGGUCAAAUUAUUUUGUGGAAAGCACGAAAUUGAUAUUCCGGAUCUGAGUAAGAAGUAUGUUUUUCCCCCCAAAUUAUUUAUUCUUUUGUUAAAUUGCACUUGUUCAUCAAUCAAUCCAUAUCUUCCCAUUUGUAGGUAUGUUGAUGUGACUAAAUCUCGAAACAAGAACGACAACACCACAGCCUUUCACCAUUACAAAGUAGAUGUGUUUAAUGUUGCAAUUGAUCAACAGCUAGCAGAGUUAGAAGAUCGAUUCAGUUCUCAAGCGACAGAGCUUUUGUCCCUUUGUGCUUCUUUGGAUCCUAGGCUGGACACAUUCAACAUAGACAAUAUAUGCACUCUGGUAGAAAAAUAUUAUCCUGCUGAUUUCUCAAGUCAAGAAAGAGCUCAAUUAGAGUGUCAGCUGCCACAUUUUCAAAUUGAUGUAUGCAACAGUCCAGAACUAAAGGAAUUAUCAACACUUGCUGAUCUAACAAGUGGACUAUUUAAAACAGGAAAAUAUUCAUCUUAUCCUAUGGUGGACAGGUUAUUAAGAUUAGUAUUAACUCUUCCAGUAUCAACUGCAACCACCGAAAGAUGCUUUUCAGCUAUGAAACUUGCGAAGACACGUCUCAGAUGUACAAUGGGAGAUGGAUUUCUGCGAGAUUGUUUGGUAAUUUAUAUUGAGAAGGAAUUGGCUGCAUCAAUCAGUACUGAUGAUAUUAUUACAGCAUAUGAUCUUGCUGCUAGUCGAAGAGCUAAAUUUAAAUUGAUAGAUAUGUAAUUUUAUUUUGGUUAAGACUUAUAAAACAUGCUAUUAUUAUAUCAUUAUAUGUGACUAAAAUCAGCUCACGUGGCUAUCGGUUCUACAUUGCUUUGUCCAUUGCCCCCCCUUACUUCAAAUCCUGGCUCCGCCCCUGCUACCACUGGCUUGCUAUUCAAGACAGGCGGUCACUGCCGAGCUGGCACUGAGCCACUAGCAGAUCACGGUAGACCACGUCGAAAGUACCACCGGGCCCACCGACCGACCACGUUGACUAUCGGGGUAUGCAGCUGGGCCACCCUGGGGCCACAAGAUGUUGUACGCUUGUACGUAUGUCCCUACUUGCCAUUCACACGUGUUUCGCUCAGAAAAACCGCAGCCUCUCUUCUCUCUCCCUAGCUAGGUGGUGGGGCCCUUACGUGCCCUUUGGGCCCCAUAGGUGGGUGCACCACCGGCCCCACCUCUCUGCACUUUUUCUUUGCUCUGCUCUGCUCGCGAAGCCCACUAGCCCAGCUGAGCCGACACCGAGCCUAUUUAAGACCGGCGGCCACCUCGCCGGACAUCCGAAUCCGCAAACUCCCAACUGUCCCAAGCAUCAUCAUCCCCCUGAUCCUAUCCUCUCGCCCCGCCAAGCCAACCGGUGCCCGCCACGGGAGCCGCAUCGCCGAUGGCAACCGAGAUCAUCCAGGCGCCGGCUCCGGCCAUGCCCGCCGUGGCGGGGCGCACCGCCGCCGCCGCAGGCGGUGCCGGCGGCAACGGCAGGGCGGGACUGCCGCCGCCGAGGAGGGGCCAGAUUAUGGUGAAGAUCCUCAAGGACGUCGUGGCCGCGCUCACCGCCAUCGCCGCGGGCCUCGUCAAGAACACCCGCGGCGGCGCCGGCGGAGCCGUUGUCGGAGGCCUCCCCACCUCCGACGACGCCGACGAGAAGUGAAACUGGCGAUCCAGAAGCUGAAGAAGGACUGCUUGCGUGUUCUCUCUUCCUCCGUCCGACGCGCUCGCUACUCUGCUGCUAUCAUGCGCUCAUUUUAGUGCGCGCAGUAGAGGCCCCGGGUGCCAAAAAUUACUACGAAGCUCUCGUGAUUUAUCUUUUCUGCACUUGUGUGCCUGUCGAUCAGGGAUAGAUCAGUUGCCAUAUUAGAGGUCGCACUGAUUCAUCCGUGGUCUGGUUUCGUUGGUUUGUGGUUCUUGUCCUUCCCAUGGUUUUUGGUUUGGGUUGGGUUUCAGUGGCUGCUUUCAGGAGGUUACCAAGGUUUUUUAAGAAAGAACCUCCUGUUGCUGCUGCUGUUCAGUCUUAAGUUUCUGUUGUGUGAUCACCGGUCAGUAAGUUCGUGUUGUUUGCUGGUGUUUGAUUGUGUAAGGUAGGUGUAGGAGGGAUCAGCGAGUAUUAUGGUCUGCUCCUUUCUUCUCGUGCUACUUGCCACCCCUGUCGUGAUGUAACUUUGUUUGCUAUCUUGUCGAAUAAAUCGAGCUUCUUGUGUGAAAUACUGUCUGUGAUUUGGAAUUCUUGGCUCAAGUGUCCCCCCAAAAUUCUGCAGGUUCACAUCUCCAUUCGCAUGAUUGUAGUACCCCGCAUCUGCAACACGUAGGUGGCUGCUUUCCUGCUGCUGUUUAGAAGUUCGUGGGAUGGAUCGGCAAGUAUUAUGGUCUGAUCCUUUCCCCCUUGUUUGCUACUGUACGGCCUCUGUUGCAGUUGUUGUGUACUUGUGUGAUGUAGCUUUGUUCUCCUCAUGCCAAACAAAUUUAAAACGAGCUUCAUGUGUGAAACAAGUACCGUCUGUGAUUCGGAGUUUCUGGCUAACGUUUUUCCUCCGAACAUUGUGUAGGUAAGCACGUUACUUCAGUUUUCAGGAAAUGGAAUGAUUGUCACCAAACCGUGGCUGACUGCGGGUGCCCUUGUUUAAUUUCCCGCGUCGCCGCGGUGGUCGGAUUCUAGCUCCUCUGCGCCGGCGUCCCAGCCGCCGCCAGCGCCAGCGCCGUCGCCGUGAACAAGGAGGCGGCCGCGCGGCAUCCUCCACGUUCAACGCUAGCCGCCCGUUGCGAAGGGAAGCGUUGGAAACGGUCACAGAUGAUUCCGUCCCACCAACGGACCAGCGAGUCGUCCCGCUGACCUGCUACCCGGUCUGGUCUGCACCGCUGGAACCGGAGAAAGGGCAGCUGCUUGGUGACGAAGGCCGCGUAGCAUGCUCGCUUGCCCCAAAUGGAGCACAUGCCGCGCAUCACCCAACCAAGCGAUCCCCUUUGUGGCGAAAACGCACGGCACUCUGACAGAAAGAAAGCGUACCACACCAGCGGGCCUCGACCAUUCCAGAGCGAAACGCAACGGCGCACUUCGCCUGACCGCUCCACGCCACGCGAAGCCAAAACAAAAGCUUGAGAAGCACACGCUACUGGCAUCGCCUCUGUACGUGCCCCCGAUCCCGUCUCUGUUUCACCGAUCGGACUUCGCCUCCUGCAAGUUGCGGCUCGAAGUCACCACGCGCUUCCCCGUGCCCGGUGGCCGAUGGCGCCCAUUUUAGUCGCGGCCGAGGUGGCGAAAACGAACGCCACCUCCACCAACGGAUCGCCGGUCCAAGUUGGAUGUGCGCGCCACUCUCGACAGGGUUUUCCACAGGUUCAGAGACCCGGAUCGUCAACAAGGCAAACAAUGCAUCAUCGUCAAACAUGCAAAUUGAGUGCCAAUGCCACCAAAGUCCACCAAUUCACCUGUAGUUUUCCUUCCCCCGCGAAGCUCAGGCCGUGCUUGCUCUGCGCCUUGUAGCGUCUCCGGAGUCGUGGCGCUAGUGGUUGUAGCCAUGAACUUGCGCGCGGGGCACCAGCAUCAAACGGCUUUGGCAAUUGGAUGCGAUCUGCAGCGAAGAGCAUCAGAAAUUAGCAAAGCACUCAAGAAAGACAGCUGCGAAAGCAAUGGAACACACGACCCUUUUUUUUGUGUAAAAACCUAAUGGAAGGAAACACAACCUUGUCACUGUCGAAAGUCAAAACCGCAAGGCACGACUGCACAAGAUCAAGGUCCACAACUGCUGCCGAUGAUCAUUCACUUGUAACAUCAGACGGAAUAUUCGGCCGAAAUUGCUGACAGUUACAUGGACCGUACAUAAUGGGCCCCGGAGGUCGCCUUCCGGCGAUGGUGGGCUGGGCCGACAGUGGUGGGUUGUUAGCAUUCGCGCCCGUCGAGUUAUUUGUUGGCCGGUCGGGUCGUCGUCGCUGCGCUGCCCUGCCCUGAAGGCGAGCGAGCUGCGGCUCUGCGCUGCUGGCCUGCUGCUGCUACGACAAGUCCGCUGUCCGCCCAACCAAGUGAUUCACUCGUCACGCCCAUCUCAUUCCGACGCAGCGCCGUUGCGCACGCAGCCACGCAGGCGCAGGCCGCUCGCCCUCCCGGUCCCGGCCUCGCCUUUGCGUCCCCUCGCCUCCACCUCACCACCACUCGCCGCCGCCGCCGCGGCUCCGCCGUCCCGGCCUCCGCGCCGCAGGUCUCUCCCCCCCCCACGGCCCCACCUACCCUCUGCCCCCGCUUGCCUGACACCUGCGCCCUACCCGCCCGCCCCCUCCUCCGCCGCCGGCGAUCGCGGGCGGCCGCCGCAACCGGUGAGUCACGGAACUCCUCUCUGGAUCACUUGGGGCCCCGCCAGAUCCGAUCCGGCCCGCGGGUGGCUGCCGGCAUCGAUCCCGGGUUAGGGGCCGCCGCGCUAGAUCUUACUGCUGAGGGGGUGGUUGCGGUUCGCUUGGAUCAGUGGUUGGGAUCGGCGGUUUGGUGGGUUGCGAUCUCGGGGCGCUGCUGCCGAGGGAAAGGUGGCUGCUUUGGCGCGUUGCUAGGGUCUUGGAGAUGUAACUGCCAGUUCGUCCCUUGUGAUGCAGUGUGGGUUGCAUGAGUGGUAGAAAGGUAGGAUAAGGAUUUGGGGCUCCUUGUCUUGCGUGUUGUAUUGGGGAACAUUGGUGCUGUUCACGGAUUGUUAGUGAAGUUGCUCAAAGUUUACAGUUUAGAUGAUAUUGUCAUCUUUUAGGGUGUGAUUUUCUUAGAUGAGUAGCUGGAAACCUAUUUUUGUACUUUUUUCUGAAAAUGGGAGCGUUGCCUUGAUUCCCAGCAUGGCAGGGCAUUUCAGUUUUUUUUAAUGAUUUGAUGUUUCAAUGUUAGUUUGCAUGCUAAUGUUUGGAAUUUUCCGCAGGCAGAGGCUGUGUAGCGGCGCUGCUAUCUUGCUUACCGUGCUGCUGGUUAUGCUAUCUACUUAUGACUUCAGUUUCCCGAGAUUCUUGCUGCAUCUUGCCCCUUGUCGGUGAGAUUCUGUAGUAACUGCUCCCCUGACUGCAAAAUAAGAAACUAUGCGACUUUCAUCUUCUCUUCAAGAUCUGCCGACCUUCACUAGAAUUGAUGCUUUAGAAAGGGGCUCUAGCAUUGGCAGUGAUCUGAGCUCAGGGCGUGCAAAAACUGUACGCACACUUCAAAGGGAUGGUCCUGUGGCAAGCUUUUCAAAAGAAAGAACACCCCCAUCAUCACCGACAAAUCGAAAGAAAUGCAUGAGAGCAGCUGGUUGCGCUAUUGCACUGAUAGUGCUGGCGUUCUGUGCAUAUGCUUCUUGGAGAUAUUUCCAUGUAUUCCUCUCUGAAGGAAACUCUGAAUACUAUGUGGUUCUUGAUUGUGGCAGCACAGGUACAAGGGUGUAUGUCUAUGAAUGGCACAUCAAUCAUAAUGAUGCAAAUGGAUUUCCUAUUGUUUUGAAACCUUUAGGGAAUGCUCCUAAGAAGAAAUCUGGUAAAUUAACUCGACUAUACCAGCGAAUGGAGACUGAACCUGGAUUGAGCAAGCUUGUUCACAAUGAAGCUGGAUUGAAGAAGGCACUAGAGCCCCUCCUUCAAAUGGCUGAGAAGCAGAUCCCUAGAAGAGCACACAAGCACACUCCACUUUUUCUAUAUGCUACAGCUGGUGUCCGCAAGCUACCUAGUGCAGACUCAGAGUGGCUCCUGGAUAAGGCCUGGGAUGUUCUGAAAAAUUCAUCAUUUUUAUGUAGUAGGGACAGAGUUAAGAUCAUCACAGGCAUGGAUGAAGCUUAUUAUGGGUGGAUAGCUCUUAAUCAUCACAUGAACAUGCUUGGCACCUCAGCAUCUAAAAUGACAUAUGGUUCGCUUGAUUUAGGUGGAUCAUCAUUACAAGUUACAUUUGAGACUGAUAAAACAGUGCAGGAUGAGACAAGCAUUAGUCUGAGGAUUGGUUCUGUUGAUCACCAUCUUAGUGCUUAUUCUCUUACUGGUUAUGGAUUAAAUGAUGCAUUUGACAAGUCCGUGGCACAUCUAGUGAAAAAGUUGGGAGGAGUGGCUAACAAUGGCAAAGUUCAAGUCAAACACCCUUGUCUACAGACUGGAUACAAAGAAGAUUAUGUCUGUUCUUACUGCCACCCACUAAAACAAGAUGGAAGUCCUAGUGUUGGUGAGAAGACAACUGGCAAAGAGAAGCAGGGAGUACCUGUCGAACUGGUUGGAGCACCUCAGUGGAAUGAAUGCAGUGCUCUUGCAAAAGUAACAGUUAAUCUUUCAGAGUGGUCCAGUGCAAGUCCAGGACUUGAUUGUAACCUUCAUCCUUGUGCUCUUGCUUCUAACUUUCCCCAACCACAUGGGAAGUUUUUUGCUAUGUCUGGCUUCUUUGUUGUUUUUAAAUUUUUUAAUUUGACUGCCGAUGCCACUCUGGUUGAUGUUCUAAAAAGAGGUCAGGAAUUUUGUGAAAAACCAUGGAAAGUUGCAAAGAGUAGUGUUCCUCCACAGCCAUUUAUAGACCAGUACUGCUUCAGGGCUCCUUAUAUUGCAUCACUACUGAGAGAGGGAUUGCAGAUUAAAGAUAAUCAGGUGAUAAUCGGCUCUGGCAGUAUUACUUGGACUCUUGGGGUUGCUUUGUGGGAGGCAGGUCAAGCAUUGUCUACACGAAUCGAUAUUCAAGGAUACCGAAUACUGCACCGGGAGAUAAACCCGAAUAUUCUCAUAGUGUUGUUUCUGGUUUCAAUUGUGUUGGUCAUAUGUGCCAUAUUAUGCGUCAGCAAUUCAAUCCCAAGAUCAUUCCGCAAGUCUUAUCUGCCACUUUAUAGGCACAAUUCUGCUGGGAGUUCUGUUCUUGGUAUGGGGUCGCCUUUCAGAUUUCAAUUAUGGAGUCCCAUCAAUUCAGGUAUAUAUAUAUGUAUGCAAGUGCUUUUUUUCUUUAUUUACAUGCCAUCAUGGUUUUCCCACUCUGUAGAAAGCCACUCUACCAUUUAAAGAUCAGAGUGGUACUUGAAUUGUUUUGCACUAGUAUCUGUUGGCUGCAUCAUACCGUUUUUUUUUCUAGACAAAAGUGUUUACCUGUUUUGUUAGAAAGAGAAACCAACAGUGUUUCCAUCACUGGUGGAGCUUGGACCCAAUAUUAGAACCAAUAUUAGAAGGGGCCAACACUGAAUCCUAUGUGAAGUAAGAAAGUUGAGGUGCCCUGUUUGAAGCCUGAUCAGUAAACUUUCCUAAUAAACUACUAGAUUUACUAGUUCUAUACAAAUGUUUUGGGGAGUCAAGCCUCCAUUGGCAACAAUGAAACUCUGCCUCUAGUUGCCAUCUUGUUAGUUUUAUUGCAGUACAUUAAUCUUCAAGAAAUAGCAUUGCCUAGAACUCUUGCUUGAUGCAACUCACUCAUGUUUUUACUUCGAUUGACUUGUAAUAAAAUGGCAUCCAGACAGAUUUUGUAAUGUUAGCUCAUGUAUGUUUUAUAUCACCUUAAAUCCUUAAUCCUGUAACCCCAUUUUCUAUAUAUAAUGGUACGAAAGAAUGGACACAUUUUUUCAUCACAUAUAUUCAAGAGCAUGUUUCAAUUUUUGUUUGAAUCUCACUCUUCUUUACUGUAGACUACUUAGAUGAUCAAACUUUUAAAUGUGCUCUACUUUGUCUGACACUUCACAGGCGAUGGAAGAACAAAGACACCCCUGAGCCCUACUGUAGCUGGGUCAGAUCCCCAUCCGUUCGGUAUGAGCCAUGGAUUAGGAGGCAGUAGUGUUCAGCUUAUGGAGUCCUCUAGGCAAUCCUUGGGCGUCUAUCACAGCUAUUCUGUUGGGAGCUUAGGUCAGAUGCAGUUCUCCAGUGGAGUGAGGAACCCUAGCCGAGGUCAGACUACACUUCAAAGCCGGCGGUCACAAUCAAGAGAAGAUCUCAGUUCUUCAUUAGCUGAUAUUCAUGUUCCAAAGGUGUAGCAUUUGCAUCACAGAAUGACAUGACUAGAAUGAGAUCCUAUAUGCCAUAACAAACUCUGUAAAUAAUAGCUCCAGAGUUCAGACUGCUUGAUUUCUUCUCUAAUCAGAAGUCAAUUUUGUCGGUACACUGACACUUAAGUGAGGUUUAGGAUUCAUAUAAAUGUUAAACUUAUGACUUGGUGUCUAUCCUGGACAUGAUACAUCCAUUCAUCCCAUUGUAUGUGCUAGAGAACAUAGCAUAAAGGUGAAGUUUUUAGUAGUGUACCAGAAGAUAUGUUUAUGCCGUUCACAGGAAUGGUUGGCCGUGGGCUGGAACCUGCAAGUCUGUAGAUCAAUUCUUCUGCAAUCAGGCGGGCAAUACUUCCUUCAAAUGUGUUUUUAAUAUGAAACAUAAUAAAGAUGCAUGUGGCUUCAUGUAUUGUUGUUGUACCCUCUUGUAAUCUUAUUGUGAGCCUUAUCUCCUGGACACCAUUUAGUGUGGCACCUUGUGAUAUCAAAUUGAAAUUUGGAUUAGUACUACCGGAUUAUUCCAGGUGCCUUCAGUGCAGACACGUAUUCAUUUGUAAACCUUAUUUAACAUUCCUUACACGGAAAAGAGAAGGUCAUCUUUUCCACAGAUGGUGUUUUUAUUUGUAUUUGAUUUGUCCGCUGGAAACUGGAGUUUAGAGCUUGUAUCAGGAGAUGAGUGCUUCCCCCAGCUCAUGGCUGCAUAGAUGGGACAUGGGAGGUCGGAGCCCGGAGCCCGGAGGCAUGCUAUGUGAUUUUCAAUAGGCUGCAAACACUGGGGGUGUUUGGGAGGCAUGUGCUAAAUUUUAGCACCUGUCACAUCGGAUGUUUGGACACUAAUUAGGAGUAUUAAAUAUAUUCUAAUUACAAAACUAAUUGCACAACCCCUAGGCUAAAUCGCGAGACGAAUCUAUUAAGCCUAAUUAGUCCAUGAUUUGACAAUGUGGUGCUACAGUAACCAUUCGCUAAUGAUGGAUUAAUUAGGCUUAAUAGAUUCGUCUCGCGAUUUAGCCUAGGGGUUGUGCAAUUAGUUUUGUAAUUAGGCUAUGUUUAAUACUCCUAAUUAGUGUCCAAACAUCCGAUGUGACAUGUGCUAAAAUUUAGCACCUGCUAUCCAAACACCCCCCAAAUUUCGUGGAGAUUGAGAGCACAGUCCUGCGUAAGUAAAAGUAACUUUCUGUAGUAGUUUUUGAAACUUUCUAUCUGAUUUUCACAUGAUUUGUAUUUUUUACUUUUAUCCCAUUUCUGCGGGAUUUUAACCUAUGACUCCUAAGGCCACUCCAAGAUGACUGUAAAGGCAUUUUUGGAUGUAUUCAGAAAUUUCUUAUCGCACUGGUCUCCAUUCGUUUUUUUAAAACAGAAAUUCUUCCCCUUCGUCUUUGACAACUUAACAUCCGAAUUCUGCCUGUAUCAUGAACAUCAGAACGUAUAAUCAAGCAGCACGUCUCUGACAUGUGGGUUCAUCGGUCAGGCUAAGAAGCGAAAUCAGUCGCGCACCUUCGUGUGCUUGCUCACACAUCGACCGUACGAUAUGACCGAUGCACCCGCAACACGAAUCACGACGUCGAUCACGCAAACCCUAACGGCCAACCCUACUAUAUAAACCUUCCUCUCCUCCCCACUCCCGCAGCCGCCGCCGCCCACGAAUUCGAAGCCCGUCGCUUGCGCCUCAUCCCCGCCGCGUCGCCGCCGGUCUCCUACCUCCGCCACCAUGGGGUACGUUCGAUGUCUCUUUUACCCUUCGUCCUGAUUUCCUGCACCUGUGCUCGUGUUGCGCUGGGCAUUCGUUCAUGGAGGCGCUCCUUUGCCGCAGCCCGCAGGAAGCCCUCUGUUCGAUGCGUAGAUGUUAUGUUGUGGAUGUUAUUUAGGCUGCUUUGUGUUGGAUUAGGGAAUGAAAUCGCGUUAGAUGUGAGAAGCAAAACUGAGCUUAUUGACGGUCCAGUGCUGAUCAGAUUAUACACCGUCAGUGCUAAACAUACUCAUAAGCGACAUCAAUCCGUUGCCGCCGUGUAACCAUGUGCUCCUGGAUUCAAAUGCUUGGGUCCGGGAGGUUAUGCGUGGUGGCAUACAAAGUUUGUUUUUCCCUCUAAUGUGCUGUUCUAAGAACCUCCUCAAUCAGUUGGUUCUGAUUCUUUUUUGGGUAUAUGUCUAUGCGGCUGGUUAUUUAUGAUGUUUUUAGUGAGGUCAAUGUUGUGUUAGAUAGAUCUUUAUACUUGUUUGAUUUUUGUGUAGAAUCUGCUUACAAUUCUAGGUGAAAUCGUACCAGUAUUCAAAAUUGAUACAAUUCAGGAUCAAAGUUUACUUUUAGUAAUUUGAAUUGCUUACAUAUAUGUACUUUGGUUCCUCUUUGUACUGGUUGAUGUUCAUUUGUAUCUAUAUGCUCACGCCAUUAGCUCAUGACAUAUUUCACAACUUCACAUAUGCUUAUGCAAUUUACAAUUGUGUUCUGUGAGAUGAAGAACUUGUGAUUUAUAUAAAGUUGAUGUAACAAUUAUGAUUCACAUCACAGAAAGACACGUGGUAUGGGAGCUGGGCGCAAGCUCAAGACCCACCGCAGGAACCAGAGGUGGGCAGACAAGGCAUACAAGAAGAGUCAUUUGGGGAAUGAGUGGAAGAAACCCUUUGCUGGAUCAUCUCACGCCAAGGGCAUUGUUCUGGAGAAGAUGUAUGUUUGAUAGUUCAAUCAUAUGUGCCUGUCUUAUCUCUACCGUUUGUGCUUGCGCUAAGGUCUUAUACUUCUAUUGUGUAGUGGUAUUGAGGCCAAGCAGCCGAACUCUGCCAUCCGUAAGUGUGCCCGUGUUCAGCUGGUGAAGAACGGGAAGAAGAUUGCUGCCUUUGUGCCGAAUGAUGGUUGCCUGAACUAUAUUGAGGAGAAUGUACUUGUUCCCCAAUCAACGCUCCUUGUGAUGCCAGUGUUCCUUGUGAUGAUUGCCAACUGUGUAAUGAAGCUAACCAACUACUUUCUUGCUGUAGGAUGAGGUGCUGAUUGCUGGAUUUGGUCGUAAGGGACAUGCCGUCGGAGAUAUUCCCGGUGUCAGGUUCAAGGUUGUGAAGGUAUCUGGUGUGUCGCUGCUCGCGCUCUUCAAGGAGAAGAAGGAGAAGCCAAGGUCUUAGAUUGCUUGUGAUAGGCAAGAAUGAAGUUGUGCUAGCAAUAGAGCUGUUCAUUCUGAGCUGUAUCUUUGGGCAGCAUUACUAUUUUGUUUCCAUUUUGAAGAUAUUAAUAUUGCAUCGCCUGUGCUCUGAAGCUGAGAAAUCUGUCUCUCCGAGCUGCCUCUUUUGGUAUUGCACAUUGCCUGUUUGUUUUAUCCGUCUUUUGCCUUUGACAAGUCUCUUGUUUCUAAGUCGAGGUAAUGCUUUUUUGAGGAUUGAUUCAUAGUACUCUGUUCGUAAUUUGAUGCUGUGGAGAUAGACUUAGCCUGAUUGGUUCCCUGCACGCAGGUGAACCAGGCUCGCUAGAUGCAGGUAGUGCUAGUUUGGUUGCCGGCUCCGGCCACCGAGAGCCGGAAACGUGAGAAUCGCUCGGAGCAACUUGUAUCCAUAAAUUCUCACUCGGAGCAACUUGUAUCCAUACCUGCAUCCAUACGUUCGUGCAACCAAUCAGGAUGCAUUGUAUGCAACUGGCCUGGCUCACGGGGCAGGCUGGAGCCAUCCAAUUACACCCUUAUAUGGUCACAAAUGACGCCCUGGUCACAGUUUGUGCUUCGAACGACCAGAUGUUAUUUUUUCUAAAAUGGUUUCAUAUUGUCAGCGGGUAGAUUUUCAGCUGAUACGACUCUUAGCUUGAUUAGUGGUGACUGCAAACUCUUAGCCAACUUGAUGGCAGUUAAAAGCUCAAAGUUGUGGGCAAGACGUGCGUAAUCGACUUGUACACGACCGUUUCGUCGAUGUCUCGUAAGAGUGACGAAAUUAUUCAUCCAAUGUGAAAAGUCAGCUUACAAAGCCAUUCAUCCUGUGACACGAGAUGUUCCAGAAGUAGCAACUCAGAGCACAAAAAUCGUCAGCAAUAACGAUGUUCCAGCAUGCUGGAUCACUAGAGAAUUGGAUAGUGUAAAGCGGGCAAAAAUAUAUCAUCUGUAACUCUGGAUGUUAAAUUAGCAAACUACAAAAAUCUAUGCACAACUGUAAUGGCCACAGCUACUGCUCUGGGAUAAACAUUGUAGCGAAACCAUGGCAUAUACACCAAGCUAUCAAAGUUAGCGGCCAUCCUGCGACUCGUCUACCUUAUUCACAUGUACAUCACAGCACGCAGGCAGCAAAGGCACGGCCAUGAGGAUACAGAUAGCCUCCAUCUCCAUGCCAUACAUCUGUCAAGGGAUAAAACAAAAAUUGAGCCGAAAGGUACUUGGCAAUCCUGUAGGAAUGAUGAAGGCAUUCCAGAGUGACUGGAAUUAUCCUAAAGUUGGUGUGGGCAUGCCUGAGAUUGGAUAGUAACUACAGACAACGUCAGCACAAUUCCUAUUUUCAUUCAAAGAAACUCACCAUUUUGACCUUGUUGGCUGGCACUGUGAAUAUGACGCAGUCACCAGCUGUUUGACAAAAAAGAAGCUAUGUCGGAUUCCCAGUGACAAAGAUUAUCAAGAAACUCACCAUCAAGAAUUUAACAUGUGAUUCAGACACCAAGAGCAACAUUAGGACUUUUUGGUCUUAGCCAGUUCUAUAAGACUCUUACCUGAUACAUCCCUCCUUUUAGCAGAAGGUAACCGAGACUGUUCAAAUUAUCAACAAGAGCAUCUAAGUCUGGAACUCGCAAGCUGAUCUUAUCAGCUAAGUUGUAAAUCUCCUGGGAAUAGGAAGAAUGAUACAACAUGAGGGCAGCCUCAGGAAUCAGAACAAUGUUUUUGUGCAAUUAUUCUGAAGUAGACUAUUGUCCUAUUUACUGCAUGAACCAAAAAAUGCUCAAAAUGCCGUGAAGGCGAUUUUUCUCCCAAACAGAGCAGAUUUUGAACAGUAAUUAAACUUAAAAAGAGAUCUAAGUGGCUUGAUUGCCACAUCACUUACAGUUCUUGAAAAGCAAUCUUUUCGUUGCAACUCAGAUUCCUUGUUUAACGCAUUCAGAAACGUCCUUGCCUCCUUUUGUUGGCUCAUCCCACCGCUCCGAGCAAAAUCGACAAAACCAUGUUCAUCAACAUAUUUGUCAUAGAGAGAUUCCUUCAUGAUAUCUACAACAUCCUGCCACAUGAUAAAUUAAGCAUUAAAAUAAUAUGCCACAGGAUGCUGUUUAUAAUUGUGUUUUCCUGUCAGACAUGCGGUUUUUUUCUCGAACCCGCAGGAGAGCUGCGUAUCUUUGUAUUAAGAGAGAAUAGAUGCUCCAAUUACAAAAAUCAUCACCACACCUUGGACCAGAGUGAGGGAUGAGGGUUUUUUUAGACAAAACUCUUACAUAGAUGAAACACAGCUAAGACCUGACCAAGAUAAACCACUUCCAACUCAGACAUGCGUUUGGCUGGAAAUGAGCUACACUUCAGGCAUAGGCAUCAAGAAUCAUAAAACCCCAUAUCUCAUAGCUAGUGGAGCAUAACCCAGUUUAAGUGUAAUAGACAAAGCAAUUCAAUGAGCUGAACGGAUCAAAGGGCCUAGGGUUUUGUGAAAUCUUAUGACCCUGAGAUCUUGGGCCAUUGCAACUAGUUGAGAAACAUAUCAAUUUCUGCAAUUAUGACCAUAAACCAUGCAGUCCAUGAGAUUUUCUCUUUUAAGAUGCAUUCUACUGACACUGCAAGAAAGGUUAAUAACAAAAACAGCAGUAGAAAAACUGAGGAUUGCUUAUUUUACCUGAGCAUCUUCUCUGGUCACUUCUUCUCUUAGAUCCACGCGAGCACGAGCUUCAGCUAAUCUGACUAGGCUUUCCAACUGCCUGGCUGUGAUGGGUGUACCGUCAGCAGAAGUGCUGCGGUUUCUCAAUCCCAAAUAAAAUUUUUUCAAAAUUUCAGCUGCUGCCUUUGACAUUCUUAAGAAGAGAGAAAAGUGAGUGGGCAAGGUAUCAAAAAAUGGAUUACGCCUUGCAUUGCACUUGCACUAAAAGUCAAAUUGUACAAGAUACCUAGGGAAUACAUGUUCUCUUGAAUAAGCUAUAUACUUGCGAAGAAAUUGCCCAGCUAAUGGAGCGAAAUCCUUAUCUUUCUCUGGGUGUAGUCUCAGUCUUGAAGCCACUGAAUUCCCAACAACUCCAAACCCUGGAUCACCAUUAUGUGACACUAUGCAAAGUUGCAAAACGUGAACGAUGGCUUACACCUAAGUUAUACAAACGAAGAGGAAGAACCACAAAACAGUGUGUAAAUAAUAACCUGUUCUGAUCCUCUUGUUGGAUUUGAAAUUAUCACCUUCGUUGGUAUGAAGCUGCUUGCAUGAAAUUUUGGACAUCUUAGUAAUUCAAUUAGAAGUAUGUUCGGUAAGACAAAAUCGUCCUUACAAACAAUAGAUUCAUUGCAUGAUAUGAGCAUGCAAGUUAUCCAUACUAUAUACUUGGGAGAUGUGAAUGAGAAAACAUGUCUGACAGCCACUUACAGCUAUUAUAUGAUCUGACACUCUUUUAUCUAGUAACUCGUCUGGCUUGUCGAGUAGAAUAAAAACCAAGUCAAAACGAGACAGGAGGGCAGCACUCAUCUUUAGAUUCUCGUUCACUGUUUUUGCUCGGCUGCAGCAAACGGUAUAUUUAGAUGGCAAAAAUUGCAUACAAUAGCCAUGAAUAUUUAGGCUUAAAUCCUCAGCAAACCCAAAAAAAACACGAAAGGGAUAAAUACUGGACAUAAAUGUCAGUCACAAACUACCACCAUUUCAUCAAAACAAACGUCAACUACCAACCAAAGUGAAGUGAAAUGGGACGAAAUACACCAGAAAAUAUGCACAGAUGAAUGGUGUUACUUCCAGUUUAGUCCUCUUCAGUUGCAGACUUGCAGUAUAGGACUAAAGUUAAAAGUUCAAUCAAGUAACAUUUCGUUCAAUAAAAAUAUAAAAUCAUCACCACAUACCACUCUAGAGCACCUAAACUACUAGAGUAAUUCCACAUACCUCCAUCUUUAACAGUUGAUGCUAUCAGUAUUGUGUUUCUUUUUUCUUUCGAAGAAAAGGAGGUGAAUGGAGAUGAGUGGCCAAGAAUAAUUGUCAUUUUCAGCCUUAACACUAGAUGCUAUCAGCAUUUCUUUUCCAAAAAAAAA